This 52537-nucleotide long non-coding RNA is filed under the name Lactuca sativa (garden lettuce). Its description in RNAcentral is "long non-coding RNA (LSAT_LNC002079)". The record is from RNAcentral. Lineage: Eukaryota; Viridiplantae; Streptophyta; Magnoliopsida; Asterales; Asteraceae.
AAGAAGACAGUGGAGCGAUUAAACGAAGUCGAUGCCGCAUACAAUUGUGCCAAAAACGGUGGAGCAGCACAACGAGGUGCAUUGGGACCAUUCGGUUUUUCAGUCCUUGCACACGAAGGUCUAGCUGAACACACUCCUGUGUAUUUCUAUGUUGCCAAAGGAGUUGAUGGGAACCUUAAAACAUUCUUUUGUGCUGAUCAAUCGAGGUCAUCUAAUGCUAAUGAUGUCGAUAAGUCAAUUUAUGGGAGCAUUGUCCCAGUUCUUAAAGGUGAAAAGUUGUCUAUGAGAAUCUUGGUGGAUCAUUCGAUAGUUGAAAGUUUUGCACAAGAGGGAAGAUCAUGUAUUACUUCACGUGUUUAUCCAACAAAGGCUAUCAACAGUAAUGCUCAAUUAUUUUUGUUUAACAAUGCUACCGCAUCCAAAGUUACCGUCUCAGUCAAUGUAUGGCAAAUGGACUCAGCUCAUGUUUAAAUAUUAGAUGUGAAAUCUAAUUUUUUUAUGGUUGUUUAAAAUCAUUUUAAGAGUGGGAAAAUAGACCCCUCAAUUCUUUUAAUUUGUAUGUGAUGAUCAUUCCGACAUCUUGUUUUUGUACAUGGAAAUCAAGGAAUUCUGAGAUAAUAGUCACCUUGUAAAAUGCAUUGCGUAAAUUAAAUUCAUUCUCAAGGUUAUUCUUCCUUAUAUAUUUUUUCAAUAAUAACAUUUUAAAUUUUAUAUUAACAGACUUUGUGUUAAAUUAUUAACAUUCUUAUCAAACUAAUAGUUGUCAAUUCAUUUUAUAAAUAGUUUUGGUAUUUUUUAUUUUAUAUGUUUGGUAUAUUUUUCAAAUUUUGUUAUUGUUUAAGGACUACAAAUGUAAAACUGAGGUAAUCUCUCGCGGGUCUAUCGGUCAAUGGGUAUAUCCAUGCAUGGUCCAACUUAUUAUCUCCAUGCAUAUAUAUGUGAGUGUAGGUGUUGUUGCAGUGGUCAUCGAGUCUCAAACAUCUUCUGUAAUAUUCUCUCGUUUUAGGUUUCACAUACGAGUUAAGGUUUCAUGAGUCUGUAGUUUGUUCUUCUUCUUUGUUAAUCAAAUCUUUGUUGUGUGAUAAUCUAUUGAGUGUAGUAUACGAAUUUGUAGCUAGUGAGAUUUCCAUUGUAAGUUACUGUCAAACAAACUGACACCACAAGAAAAAUCCUGAAUUACUACGGAAAGUUGCUACCGAAUCAAAAUCCGUAGCUAUUUUACUACGAAAUAUGCUACAAAAUGGCUUGUCGUAGCUAUUUUGUGACGGAAAUGGUUACGAAAUUGCAUUCCGUAGGUAAAUCCUAAAUAGCUACGUAUAGUUGCUACGGAAUCAAAAUUCGUAGUUAUUCUACUACGAAAUAUGCUACACAAUGACUGGCCAUAGCUAAUUUGCUACGGAAAUGACUAUGAAAUUACAUUAUGUAGCUAAACAUUGAAUAGUUGUUAUGGAAUCGAAAUCCGUAGUUAUUUUACUACAAAUUAUGCUAUGGAAUUUUUGGUUGCGGCUAGUUCGCUACGAAACUUGUUAUGAAAUUAAUAUUUGUAGUUUUUUGGCUAUAGAAUUGGCUAUGGAAUUCAAAAUUGUAGUUUGUGGCUACGCAAUUGAAAUUCGUAAUAAUUUUGUUACGAAAUUUGAACCACAAUUAAAUUUUGUAGCUAAUCUACUAUAGAACUUGUUACAAAAAUAUUAAUCGUAGUUAUUUAUGUAUACGAUUGGUGUUCGGAUUUGCAAAAUAACUAUGGAAUCAAAAUCCGUAGCUAUUUAGCUAUGAAAAUAUUCCGUAGUUAAGUAGCUAUGGAACAUGUUUCCGUAGCAAAAUAUAGAAAAAAUUAUAUUCUUAUUUUAGAUUAAUAAUUUCCUUUCCUAUUUUUAUAACAAAUUAGCCCUUAGUUAAAAGAACAAAUUAGCCCAUAUUUUUGUAUCGUCGAUUGGAGGAGGUCGUUUUUAAUGAAUCACAAAAUGCAAAAGUCAAAUGGAUUAAUGAAAAGUCAACCUUAUUUAUUAAUUAUUUUGUAGGCGAGACUUUUGCUCUUUACUCAUAAUUUUGACAAGCCCUGAAGAAAACUAUUCAUCACUUGACCUAAUUCCUCAGUUUUCCCCGGUCUCCACUUACGCCAUUAUCGAUCGGACUUCACAUUAUCGGGAGCUCCUCUCACUCUUGUUUGCUGUCGUUCGUCACCUGCUCUGUCAAUUGGUAGGUUGUUCUCGAUUGAUGAUCCUCAUUGCCUUCGUGCUCACUGUGGAUCGUCGUACUCCUCUUCGCCAGUUUUUUCCUCGAUCGUCUUCGUCCCUAACAGGUAACCUUCUUCUUUGUUUUGUUUGCUUCUUAAAACCUGCGUGACUCCACUAAAUCAUCUGCUUGUGUCACCUGAAAAUAUUAGCGACUAUUUCCACCUAAUGCUCCAAUUUCUCUUUCUAUCAUCCAAUGACAUGAGGAUCUAUUGAUCUUUCCAUUGAAUCCAAGGCGAGUCAAUAAUCAGUUAACUCUACCAAUCCUUACACGCAGCUUGAUUCAAGUUUUUAUUGGUGAUUUUGAUUGAUCGAUUAUAUUGCAUUUGAUGCAAAUUGUGGAUUUUGACUUGACAAAUAAUGAAGUAUUGAUGUGACUUUAUUGCCUGAGCAUCAUAGAUCACACAUUGUUUGCAUGUAUUGUGAUUAAAUUAGAAUGGAUUUUCUAGGAUAAAACUUAUAAUCUGUCUUUGAUAGACAUUUAGUUUAAGCAAAUUGAGAAUUUCACCAGAUAAACAGUGUUGUAUUGUUGUGACUUCGUUGUUGGAAUUUCAUGAAUCACAAAGAUUCAAUAGCUAAAGAUGAACUUUUUAGGAGAAUCAUAAGAUGUUGCUACUUGCCUACUUGUGCUUUAUGUCAUGUCAUCUCUUUUAAUUCACAAAACUAAGCUGUUCAGAUUGUUGGUUAUAAUCAUAAAUGUUCAUGUAUGCGUACCUUUUGUUAUAAUUUUGGUCCAUAUAGUUUUUUGUUAAAUAAUAACCAACUUGACCAACCAAUAAGUUUAAUUGUAUAUGAUUCUAUUUUAUGCUUAUAUCAAUUAGUAAACAUGUCAAUGAGAAAAAAAAAACACUUAAUAGUUCUCACACUUUUCCCCAAUACGUAAUAAAGUAGUGUAAUCCCAUGAUGAAUGAAUUAUAUGACCAACAAUUGAAUAUUAAUCUAAUUCACUUUGAAUAGAUAGAACAACUACCCGUUGCAUUUUUGAAAUCUUUCCACCAUUAAUCCUUACCCCUUAAUAUUACAUAUUUCAGAAACUCAUGGACCACAAUUAAUCUCACUGAUAUUUGCAAUGAUUGCAUGCUUCUAGUUGUUAAUAUGUUAUUACUAGUUAAUAUUUGUUAGAAUUUAGAUUGAAGUUUUUUGAGAAUUAGUAUAUGUAGGUUAAUCAUUAAUGCGUUACUGUUUGUGAGUUUGUUGAAAAUCAAUGGUGUUUCUUAAAGGGUUCAUCAGGUCUAACUUUUUUUACUGUGCAAAAUGGGCAGAAAAAGUUGAAAUUUGGUUAAUGAACAUCUUGUUCCAUGGAGUUUUUAUCUUUGCUUAAAUUGUCAUCUUCAUCCAAUGCAUUUGUUUGAACACUGUUGUAUUUUAAUUUAAUUUCCCAAUAUAUAUUUAGAUAACGAAUGGAAUCUUUUGUUAACAAUUCCCAAUAUAUCAUUAAACUUAAAUUGAUGUUUGUGGAAGUAUUCACUUGUAACUCAAGCCAUUUUUAUUACGACUAAUUUUUCUCCUAGUGUUGAAGUGUGUUAUUGUAUGCUUGAACAUGAUUGUUUGAUUUUGCAAAUAAAUAAUUAGAAAGAUAUACGCAUUUUAAGUUUUCUUUUUGUUACAUCAUUGUAAGUUUUUAAAAAAAAAAAUUAUUAUUAAGGCAUGCUAUGUUGACAAAUCUACCAAUUAUAGUCUUGUACUUUCAGUUUUUUAAUUAUAAGCAAAUUUUCCUUUGAAAAAUUAACUCAAUUAUUGCAUUGCAUUUUGUUUGUUGAAUUUCUAUGUACUUUGUUGUAGGGUUAGAAAUAAAGGGAUAUUAAUGUCACUUAUAUUAUGUUUACUUGUCUACAAUAAUAGACACAUUUUCUCGUCUGCAGACCAAAUUUACUUUUUUAGAAUUUAUUUUUCUCUUUUAAUCUAUUACUGUAAUCAAGAAUUUCAAGUUUUCAACAGUUCUGCUAAUAACAAUCUAUUUGUGACAUUGGAGCUUUUUAGGUUGUGUAAUUUGUUGAAACAAAAGCAAAAGAUAUGUUUAAGGGGUUAUUGAAGCAAAAGCAAAAGAUUUCAGCCCCUGUCAACCAAUGAUUGGUGGUAAAUUGCUGCUUAUGUGGUACUAGUUAUAUGGCAAGUUUUUUUUUUUUUUGGAUUUAUAUGGCAAUUUUUUUACUUAAUCUGGAAAACUAUAUAAAUAAUUAUUAUUUCAGUUAUUCUAUACUUAAUGAUAUAACAGGUUAAGCUACUUACUAUUUAUAGGCUCAUAGUUGGAAUUGAUGGGUUUUGGUCAUAAGACAUCUUAUGUGCUCAUACAAACCCUAAAGCUCGGAUCUAGGUUUCUUUAUUGUACAUGCUUUGAAUCCAAGACUAUAAACCCUAAUUUUAGCAUAUGGAAAUCAAUAUUAACAUAUUAAUAGGUUUAAGAACAUACCUUGAUUGUUAUAUAGCAAUAACAAUCCAAUUCCUCCUUGAAUUGACCUUGGAAAGCAGAGAGUCACAAGUGUCACUCCUCUAAUGGCUUACAAACACCAUAAGCAAGUGGAGAAUGUAUAAAGAGAGAGAGGAGGGAGGUUAGAAUUCGUCCUUAGGACCCCUUGGGAAGGGUUACACGAAUUCAUAACCCUAGGGGUGUUUAUAUAGGUGUAGAGAUAGGGUUUCAGUCAUUAUCCUUAUCUAGUUGAUUAUCCAUUAAGCAACCAAUAAGAUAAUCCUUGAAUCCUUAUCAUACUCAAAUUCUAAGGCUUUCCAACCUUAAAUUCGUUCACCACACUUAUAAGAUAAUCCUUACCUUAUUUUGUAACUAUCACAUAAUUACAAUUCAGCCCCUCUAGUUUAAUUAAUUACACUUGAUCACAAAAUUAAUUCUUAAUUAAUUAUUGACCAAUAUUAAUUAAACAAAUAUGAUUUCUCCUUUAAUAUAUUAUUCUUAUAACAUAUUAAUAAAUCAUAAUAACCUCUCUCUCUUUAUUUAUUUCUCCAAUCAAGUUGCUUUGGUGAAGGCAACCCAAAAGGACCAUGCACCAUCGGGUCAAGUACAUACCAAAAUAGUUAUGGACUUAGACACUAAUCCAACAGUCUCCCACUUGGAUAAGUCUAACAACUAUUCUGCGUAUGACUUCGGAUCCCGAUCUGCAAUCGUAGCUUUCCAAAGCCGCUGUCAACUCUGAUCAUAUCAGAUACGCGUGUCCUUAGAUAAGGGAUCAUAUAUUCCUCCAUUCUAGAUAUCAUAUGAGAUAUGAUUUCAAAUCAUUCUCUUUGUACUAUAUCUCGAUUUCCGAUUUAUGACGACUGACUAAUUGAACAAAUCAAAUUAGCCCUAGCCCGGCCGAGCAUUUACGUUUGUCAUCACUAAACCAUCGAGGGGCCCAAAGAUAUCGCUUUUAUCCUACUUUGGAUAAAAGGAACGGAUAAACUUUGAUACAAUGCUUGCUUGCACUCACUCACCGAAUCACACACAACAAUAUGUUUUAUAACACCAAGUUACUAGUGCGUUUACAUAUUAUCAAUGUGCAACCGAUUUGCAAGAUACAACUCACACAUCUCGGUUUCAAGAAUAUAAGAUGUUAUCGUCUCACCAAUCACUCGUGAUACAAUUCAUGGAGUGAUCCAAGUGAGCGUGGGUUUAAUCCAAUGCUCAAAUCACAUUCAUAAGCACUCAUGAACGUUGCAGCAAACAUUUGCUUAUGUCUAAUACUCUUUUAGACAAUCCACACACCAAUUCACGACAGUCUUCAUUCAUAUCUACUUCCAACAUAUGAACGACUGUGGCCCGUUUGAAUAAUUCGAUUAUUCUUAAUAAACUCAAUUAUUCUGGAAGUCAAAACAUGCAAAUGUGAAACACAAGAAUAAUACUAAUCCCAUAUGGCCUCAAACCUUUGAGUAUAAAUAAAACACCUUUUAUUUAUCACCAUAUUGAUUACUCAUUAUUUGUCGUUUCGGGUAAUCAACUUCUUACUUGAAUUCCAACACUUGUCCCAUGCUCCUAGCAUGCACACAAUGUUUACCUAUGGUUCUUACUUUGUGAAAUAGAUCACAUUGAACACAUUUCCAAUCCUUCUCAUUUCACAACUCCAAAUCCGUUUUUCAUAAGUCAAAGAAUAUCAAAUUCUUGCUACUUAUAGAAUAUGCUAGAUUCUAACAUUCUAUGCAACUAUCCUUUCGUAAUGUCACUGCACCAAAGUCACAAAGACUAUUGCCAAUGAUAUUACAAAGUCCUCUAUCGGAGAUUGUUACAAGACAAUUCCAUAGACGUGAUGUCUCUCACUCAAAGUACAUUCUUUGAACAUCCUUUUGCAUAGAAGUUUCUAAUCUAGUCAUAGAUUUCUCAAUAUUCAAUUCCCAAUAUGGACACACUUCCAUAUGUUCCAUAUGACAACUCAUUCUUAAUAGAAUCUUAUCUAUUCGUAAUGAUGUCGAUAUGGUCCAUCCAAUAUGGAAACAUUUCCAUAUUUUCCAAUACUAUACUUCCAACUACUCACAAGCGACCAAUCCUCGUCGAACUUUGGAUUGUCCUUUGAUAGUUGUUUAAUUAUUUUAGUCAAAACCAAUUCUAGUCCCUUUUCCCUCUAAAUGCGCUCGACAUUUGGAAAAUUUUAGAAUGGUCAAACAUUAAAGCAUUUGCAAUCGAUCCUAUACCCGAAGCGUAUGGGACACGACGCAUAAUGUUUUAUUUGCUAUGUUCUCAAAAUUCGAAUUGUGAAGAGGGAUGCCGUAAUCAUAAUCGAAAUUUUAAGAACACACUAUGUACCUUUGACUAAAUUUAUUAACAUUUCUCAACCUAAUCCUUUAGAUUUGAAAUGAAGCAUAAUAUUCUCUCCCUUAAUUAUAGCAAAACAACCUUUCAACUCUUACAACUUUGCAAAGUAUGACUCUUGUUUUCUAUAAUUAAUAUUGCUAACCUUGCAAUACUUUCCUUAAUAAUCAUACAAUCAUAACAUUUAUGCUCCCACUAUCAUGAUGAUUAUUAUAAAACAUAACACUUAUGCUCCCACUAGCUUCGACAUGUAUUCAUAAACAUCUUAACUUUCAGAAAACAAUACUUAUUGAAUUUCUUAAGUUCAUGUUUCUAAUACUUAGUGCUUUGAUAAUCCUUUAUCAAUGCUUCUUGAACUUAUACACCUUUGCCUUCGAUAGUUCAUAUGUGUGUCUAAACAAUUAAGACUAAUUGCCAAACCUCACAAUUCAAAUUAUGGAAAGGGAUACCGUAACCAUAAUCGAAUUCGAGAAUGCAAUUUUACAAUCACUAUCUUCUUAAAAUCUUUCUUAGUGAAAGCAUUUCCUCACAAUCAUUUUCAUGAAGGAGGAAAUCUUAUGACACUUAGAUUUAAACGGUGUAUGUGUUCCUAUCCAUGUGAAUUUGUUAAAACCAAAGUUUACGACAAAUUCAAACUCAUAUGGACCGAACUUUCUUAAUCUUGAUUUCUUGCCUUAUGGUAGCACAGCUGCCCACCAUGUCUUCCAAGUAGUUAAGCAGCUCACCCUUUCCUAUCAAUGUACCUUUCAUUGAUUAAGGUGCUUUGCCUUUUAUGCGUUCAAAAUGAGAACUCAUAGAACUCACAUGCAUAAUUAACUCGAUUGGAUUGGCACAGAAACAAAAUAAUGUCAACACGAUAGGUUGUAAACCUCAACUCGUGUGCUAGUGAUGAUCGAUAAGGUUUAUUUGAUUUGUUCUUGAAACCUUUCAAGACCAUUAAGACUCCCACUGACUCCUUGACAUAUAAGAUUCUCUUGUCAAUAAACAUUUCUUGACAAACAAAUAUUCAAGAGUUAGUGUAGUUUUUAUCAAAACACUUCAUAAAUUGGUCCUAGUUGGUCUUUGUCUUAUCCAAGACAUCACAACUUUCCACAUUUGAUGAAUGUUAUAAACCUUCUUAAUACUUAUCACUCAAUGUCACAAUCUUAACUCUAAGACUUGUUUUGGAACGAAGUAUGAUUGACUUCUUGAUUUAACCAUUUCUUCAAUUCUUGAUUCCUCUUCUUAGACAUACAAUUGUACUAAGACUCACUUAGAGGAUCAAUUGAGAUAUGGUUCUUAAUCAUUAAGACCUAUCAUAAAGCAUAAAAGGUACUCUCCCUUCUUCUUAGAAUGGAGAAACUUUUAUCUUUCUGCCUACUUGAUUCUUCUUAUUCGUUCUGCUAUUGAUUUAAACUUUUUCAAUCAAUUCAGAAUUACACUUAAUCUUAUAAGUAUAAUCAUAUUUACUAAACCUUUAGUAAAUCAUGACGAAUAUCUUUGUUACUCUUAUGGUGGACUUGAUCAACACGCAACUUUGUGUACUCGAUCUCCUAGUCCUUCACUUGACACUUUGUCAAUGAAUUAGUCUAAUUUCCAAAUAUGAAAUUUCUCAUUCAUCGUGCAACCAAGUUGCAUGAUUCCAAGUUUCUGUCCAAUUGAAACUUGGGCGAUGAGAAACUCUCCCUAUUUGGUAAACUCUCGACUUUCCAUAAAUAACAUAAUAAGAACCAAAUCCAUUAUUGCUAAUAAUAGAAACAUUCAAACAUCAAUUUUUCAUAUACGCCAUUGCAAGGAUAAAUAAAUAAUAUAAAAUCAAAAUUUAUUUUAUUGCGGAAAAAAUUUGUCCUUACAAUGCAAUUCAUUGAAAAACUAUGCUAAUACAUCUUUCUUAGCAAUCUAAUUCUAACUCUAAGUAGUAGCUCAAGAAUCUAAUCUUCGAGAAAUGCGAUCGAAAUCCAUUCCUUCACGGUUAGAUUCUGCUCACUUCUUCCCUUAAGCUUCCUUUCUUUUCUUCGAUCCUACAAAACAUCAAUUGUAAUCUUAUCACAUUAUGUAUUAAGAAUCUAGAAUAGAAGCUUAAAAGAGUUAGUUAAUGGAUUUUACCUAUAUUAGAGCCAUACGUUUCGACUCUCCCAUCUCUUAGAUCUCUUAGGUAAAUGGGGCAGCUUCGUCUCCAAUGCCCUUUCUCUUGGCAAUAAAAGCAAAUUGACUCUUUUGGAACAUGACAUGGAACUACUUCAGACAUUGCCUUUCUCUUAUGAUCAAACUUUUCGAUCAUAGCAUGUCUUUCGUUGCCAUUGUCUAUAUCCAUAGAGGUCUUGAAGGCAGAUUCACCAAUCAACUUUGCUUUUCUAUUGCGCCAAACCAUUGCUGAUUCAGCAGCAAUAAGCAUAUAGGUGAGAUCUAUAAGGGUCACGUCGCGGUUCAUCAUAUAGUACUCUCUUACGAACUCACUAUAUGAGUUAGGAAGUGACUGAAGAACCCAAUCAACAGCCAUUUCCUCACAGACAACGGAUCCCAACAUUCUUAACCUAUCAAUGUGUGACUUCAUCCCUAGGACGUGUGCACACACCGACUUUCCUUCUUUAUGUUUACUUGCCAAAAGGGCUUGAGUGAUCUUGAACUUUUCAAGCCUUUGAACUUGUGGGUUAGGGAGAAUAAUUGGAGGAGGAGGAGGAAGUGAAGCAUGAUUUCUUGUUCCUCGAUCGAAUCGUGGAAUAUCAUCUUCAUGUGGAAUGCUUGUUCCACGGGAUUUGGGAAGACCAUAGUUGUCGAACUUUGACAUCUACAAAACGGGAGAAAACGAAUUCAAGUUAGUUGAUUGAUUGAGUCCUUAGUAAAUCACCCAAAUGAGAUACUAAGGCUAGGACCCAACACAAUAUUCUACAACUCGGGAGAGGGAUGCCGUAACCCUAAUUGCAGAAUAUUUGAAGGUAAGUGAAUGACGAUUCACUAAUUUCCACCAUGAAAAACGAAAAAGAAAUUUAAGUUUUAAAUCUAUGAAAACUCCUAGAUCCUUUGAGAUUCAUUGAACUUUCAAUGGCAUGUUUAAAUCUCGAUAUGCCCCUCUUGUUUGUGACUGGGAUGCCGAGGAUCACAAAGCGGGUGUGAAUAACCAUGCAAACUUACAUGGUGCCCUCACAUGUUACAGUCACCUAUUCGAUGUGCCGGUAAACCACACACGCUCCACCGAACUAUGACAAACAUUGAGUCACCCUUUGCUACCUUUGCUUAGACCCAUUUAGUGUGCCGGUUAACCACACACGCUCCACUAACGUCUUCGCAAGGGCACAAAGUGUAAUUUCAUGGAAUUGCAUCAAUUCACUUUUGCCUAAGUAACUAAGAUUGGGAAUUUUAUGAAAACAUUUAGUUACUUUAAUAAUUCAUUAUACUUAUAAUGGAAGGUUUCGUCCUAUCCUACCCGUUCGGCUAACGACCCUCCACUAGUCAAGAGUGCGGUGGGUAAGAGUGGAUACCCAUUCAAUCGCCAUUUUAUAGGCAAUUUCCUUAAACACCCCUUAUAGACCAGCUUCGUGAAUGAGGCCUACUAACGGUAAGACUGACUUUUACUCAUACAUAUAUAUAAUGUUAGACUUUUAAUGUUAUAUAUAGUAUAGGGUGUAUUUUACACUUUUAAAAUAUUAGGUGGUUCAAUUUAACAAUUAUACUUUUAAUUCACUUAAAUUGUAAACCUAAACUUUUAUGGAUUUAUUAAACCUCUUUUAAUUAUACACCUUAAUUAAUUAAUAAAACCAUAAGGGUGUGAUUUGAACUUUUUCAAAACUAUACUAGAGUUUUAGAAUUUAACAUUCCUAAUUAAACUUUUAAUCAACUUUUAAAUUCCAAAACUUGAGGGCAAGUUUUGAAACAUUUCAACACAUUAGGGUUUAGAAUUUAAAUAUGCAUCAAAAUUAAACUAUUUAAUCAAAAUUUAAAUUCCAAAACUUGAGGGCAAGUUUUGAAACCUUUUUCAAAACAUUAGGGUUUCAACUAUUUAAAUUUCAAAACAACAAAACUUUUGGGGUUCAAAUUUAAACUAUAAAACCUAAAGGGCCAAAUAUGAAACUUUUCACAACAACAAGGAUCAAAUAACAAAUAAUUCAAAUUAACAUUUAAUCACAUAAUUAUCCAUAUUUGAUGAUUUCUUGCAAAAUAAUUUAUCAAUUUACUUAAAAUAAUUAAUCAAUUAUCUUAUAAGGAAACAAUUAUCUUAUUAAUUGAUAAAUAUCUUCAAUUAGAUUAAAAAUAUAGUCAAAUAUAUCAUAUAAUCGGAUUAAUAUUAAUCUAACAUGAUAAGGUAAUUAUCCCAAUGCAAAAACAGCAAGAAAUCCCGAGAUAAGCACUGUCUGACGCACCGACUCGCCGAGUCACCCUCUGGAACUCGCCGAGUAGGGCUGACUCGCCGAGUCCAAGAGUGACUCGCCGAGUCAGGUCGAACAGUGAGGCCAAAACACGAUUUUCAGUUACAUCAAGCAUCAAUACAAUAGAAACCAAUCAAGGCUCUGAUACCACUGAUGGGUUUUGGUCAUAAGACAUCCUAUGUGCUCAUACAAACCCUAAUGCUUGGAUCUAGGUUUCUCUAUUGUACAUACUUUGAAUCCAAGACUAUAAACCCUAAUUCUAGCAUAUGGAAAUCAGAAUUCACAUGUAAUUAGGUUUAAGAACAUACCUUGAUUGUUAUAUAGCAAUAACAAUCCAAUUCCUCCUUGAAUUGACCUUGGAAAGCUGAGAGUCACAAGUGUCACUCCUCUAAUGGCUUACAAACACCAUAAGCAAGUGGAGAAGGUAUAAAGAGAGAGGAGGGAGGUUAGAAUUCGUCCUUAGGACCUCUUGGGAAGGGUUAGACGAAUUCCUAAGCCCUAGGGGGUUUAUAUAGGUGUAAAGAUUAAGGUUUUAGUCCUUAUCCUUAUCUAGUUGCUUGUCCACCAAGCAACCAUAAGAUAAGUCCUAGAAACCCUUAUCCUAGUCGAAUUCUAAGGGAUUUACACCUCAAAUUCGUUCACCAUAUUUAUAAGAUAAUCCUUACCUUAUUUUGUAACUAUCACAUAAUUACAAUUCAGCCCCUCUAGUUUAAUUAAUUACACUUGAUCACAAAAUUAAUUCUUAAUUAAUUAUUGACCAAUAUUAAUUAAACAAAUAUGAUUUCUCCUUUAAUAUAUUAUUCUUAUAACAUAUUAAUAAAUCAUAAUAACCUCUCUCUCUUUAUUUAUUUCUCCAAUCAAGUUGCUUUGGUGAAGGCAACCCAAAAGGAUCAUGCACCAUCGGGUCAAGUACAUACCAAAAUAGUUAUGGACUUAGACACUAAUCCAACAGGAAUGCAGUUCCCUUACAGCUUCUUUGGCAUGCAUAAUUGGUCUUCAGUAUGGUCAUAUUUUAAUCAAAUUACUAGUGUGAAUUUCAUUUAUAUUUUAGAGUAUUUUCCCUGGUCAAAUCUUAGUUGACCGAGUUUGUUGCAGGGGCAUAAAGAUCGACUUUGCUUUUAGAGUUUUAGUUUUCGAUUUCCAAAUAACAAUUUAGAAUAUUAUUAAGUUUUUUGGUUUUUUUUCAAUGUCAGGUAUUCCUUUGAACAAGGGCUUGUACAUGAUGUUGUAUCAGGAUGAAAUAAAAGUAGGAUGCUAUAACAAAGAAAUAAAUGAAAUUAGGUUGUUAUUUCUUAGCCUAUAUUAUCUUAUAUCUUACUUUAAUUUUAUUGGUUUUGACAGGAUUCGAGGGCACAUGUAAGAGCCCUAUAUCUGUUUAUAGGGACAAUUUAGAGAAUGCACACCUUUGGGAUUGAAAACAUGGAUACCUAACAUUAUGGAGCAAUAUCAACAAAAACAUCAUUAUGCAGGUUCAUUUUUAUACCUUUAAUAAUAGAAAAUCAAGUGUUUUCAACUUUAUUUCAAAUCAUUUUGACAUCAUGUGACAACUUCAUAUCCUUUUGGCAUCACGCGACGGCUUGGAAAGAGAAAAAAUAAUCAUGCUAAUGUUGGAUUUGAUGGUUCUCAAAAGGGGAUUUAUUUUGUUUCUCGUGUACANGACGGCUUGGAAAGAGAAAAAACAAUCAUGCUAAUGUUGGAUUUGAUGGUUCUCAAAAGGGGAUUUAUUUUGUUUCUCGUGUACAUGUUAAUAGUAUGCCAAAUAAAAGAGUUGGAUUGUUGUUUUUACUUUGUCUUCAUUUUCAUAUUUUAAUCAAGUUGAUUGUAAAUUUGAUUUUGCAGGUUUUUCCAUUUUGGUUGAGUAUAUGUGGUUGUUGGUGUGUAUAUGGCGGUUCAAAUCUAAAUUGUGUGUAGGUGACGGUUCAAAUCUAAACUGUUUGAUUAUACUUGUAAUUAAUAUUUAGUUUUAAUGAUUAGACAACCUCAUAGAAGACUUUUCGAUGAUAUCAUAUGUCUAUAAAAUUGAUGUAACUAUUAAAUUUAUAUUUACUACAUUUUUAUAUAUUUUUAUGAAUAUUAUAAUUGGAAAAUUGGAUUUUGUUGAACAUUUUUAUCAUACUGAAUUUGCUUUGGAACCUGUUGCUACAUGACAAAUCGUUGUUGAACAAAAACCUACAAAAUUCGCUACGGAACAGACGGCUACAGAAUUUGCUACGGAACAGACGGCUACGGAAUUUGCUACCAAACAGAUAGCUACGGAAUUUGCUACGGAUAGACAACUACGGAAUUUGUUACGGAACAGAUGGCUACGGAAUUUGCUAUGAAACAGAUGGCUACGAAAUUUGCUACGCAACAGAUGGUUACGGAAUUUGUUAUGGAACUCAAAUUGCAACAGAAUAGAUGUCGUAGAAACUGUCAUAACAAAAUUGCUAUGGAAUUAUAAUUUCGUAGCUAAACAUUUUGCUACAAGAAAUAUAGCUACAUAGUCUAAUUGAUAAAUUGGGUAGCAAAUUCCGUAGUUAUUCAGCUUUAGCUACGGAAUUUCAGAUUUUUGCUAUGGAAUUUUUCCAUAGCUAAAUUGGAAUUUUCUUGUAGUGUGAUCUAUGAAUGAAAUAGAUUGUUUAUGUUGAGAAAUCUAGAUUGUUAUCUACUUGUGUUUAGUUUUAGCAUUGUUGUGAUAGUAAUCUCAUUGUUGUGUGAUAAUCUAUUGAGAGAACUAUAAACUUUUUCUGUUACUCUUGAUAUCUACGUGUGUUUAGUUUUAACGUUGGUUAAUCCGGUUAUGAGCACCAAUUAUAUUAUUUUGUGAACUUUGAUUGUUAUUCUGUUUCUUCUUGAUGUUUUCUUAUCUUAUCUGAUAUGGUUGUUGGGAAAACUCCUGGUGGUUCAGGAACUAUGUCUAAUGAAUCACUAAAUGUUGAUGAUCCUCUCUAUAUUCAUCCUACUAAUACUAUAACUAGAACUAGAAUUGGUUUCACAUUACUUGGAACUAAGAAUUUUAUAAAAUCUGAAAAAGUUCCAUGACUAGAGCAUUAAAAGAUAAAAACAAAUUAGGGUUUGUAGAUGGUACAACAGUUAAAAUUGAAGAUGAUCCUAUUAAAUCUCUUAAGUAAGAAAGGGAAAACGAUGUCGUGUGUUCAUGGGUUCUUGGAUCUAUAUCUGAAUCCAUAUAUGCAUGAAAUAUUUACUCUAAAAAGGCUAUUGAUAUAUCGAAUGAAUUAAAUAAAACUUACUAUAAGUCUGACGGCUCUAUUGUCUUCAACACAUAAAUGCAGUAGCUCAAAAUUGUCUUUCUGUUUUUGAUUACUACAAUAAACUUGAUUCACUUUGGAAGGAAUUUGAUGGUCUAACUAAUCUCACUAAAUGUGUCUGUCCUGCUUCAACUCAGUUGAACAAUCACUUUAAACUUAUGAAACUUGUGUAGUUUUUAAGUGGUCUUGAUAGCUAUUAUAAUUAAGUUAAAAGUCAAAUCUUGUUAACUGACCCUUUACCAAAUGUUAGAAAUGCUUUUGCUAUAGUCUCGGAGGAGGAAUCUUUAAAAAAAUGGUUAUGUGUCCAAUACAUCCAAAAAAUCUCAAACCAUUGCUUUUAAUAUAAUUUCAAUGAUAACAGAAGGAACAAAGGUCCUAAUCAAAAUCCUCAAUGUAAGAAUUGUGGAAUUAAAUGCCAUACUAUUGAAAAAUGCUUUAAAUUAGUUGGUUACCUAAAGGAUUUUAAACCAAGAAAUGUUUUUAACAACGGUCUCAACAACUCGUCUAGCAAUAAUUUUUCCAAUAAUAAUUCUGAGAGGUCUUGGUCUAGAAAUAAUGUUACCUCUAAUCUUAUUGAUGGAUCCACUUCUAGUUUUAGCCCUGCUGAUCUAAGGUCUCUCACUCGUGAACAAGUCUCCAAACUUUUUCAACUCAUUAAUGACAAAUAUGUUGGAUUAGGUGUCUAAGCCAAUAACUGAAUUAGUGUGUGUGUGUAUAUAUAUAUAUAUAUAUAUAUAUACACACACACACACUUGAAUUAUUAGUAAAGUCCUUUUGGUUUGCCCUCAAACUUAGUAAUUGAAAUGGAUGACUUUUAGAGAGAGAGAGAGAGAAAGAGAGAGAUAGAGAGAGGGAAUGAUUUAUUGAUUUAUUAUAUAAUUAAUAGAUAACAAUAAGUGAAUUUAUUAAUAUGUUAUAAAAUUUAUAUAUUAAUUAGAAAUUUUAUUAUUUAAUUAAUAAUUAAUCAGAAAUUCAUUGGAAUUAAUUUUGGGAUUAAUUGGAUUAAUUAAAAGUUCAAGGGUUAAAGUGAAAUUAUUUAAUAGUUGAAUAAGAGAGGUUCUAGAAACUUCCUUGGAAGGGGUUGACGAUUUCAGGGUAUUCCAACGCAUCUGGAAUAUUCCUUGUAGAUAAAUAGGAAGUUGGAUAAUUACCAAUUUUAAUUAAUAUUAUUUUAUUCAAAUUAGGGUUUCAAAGUUACACUAUAAAAGGAACCCUUGGCCUUGGAUUUUGGCCACCCCUCCUUUCUUAGAGUUAGCUGAAAAUUUCAUCUCCCCUCUCCUCUCUCUUUAAGUCUCCUUGUUGCUAUGGUUGGGUGUGAACCAUCAGAGGCACGAAGAUUUUGGUGCUAGUUUCCAAGCAACUACAAGAAGGAUUGUUUGAUUGUUUACUAUAACAAUCAAGAGGUAUGUUUUCUUCUAUGAUUUUUGUAAUUACCUAGGGAUAUAGGGUUCUUAUUGUUCAAUAGAAUGUUACUUAAAUAGAUUUGUGACUAGAUGUAACAGUUUGCAUGUACCCUCAAGUGUAUAAGGAUUUAUCCGCGUUAUUGCAUGCAAAACCCAAUAGUGGAAUCAAAGCAUAUGGUUGUAUAAAAAUUGAAUAUAUAUUGGUUGAACUAGAGCAAAAUCCAAUUGGAGGAAAGACAAAAUUGACAUUUUGUUGCGGCACCAUGUCGAGGUGUUCUUUUGCCACGACGUGGUGUUCUUCGAAUCCGCGUCUUUUUCCGUUCUACCACGAUGUGGCAAUUGUGUUCCAUGACGUGGUAGACCCUCAUGUCAGAUAGAUCUUUUUUUGCUUAAUUCAUAAAUUGAUUAGGAUAAUUACUUCAGAUAAUGUUUUUAAUUAUAUAAAACUAUAUAAUUAUCUAUGUAAACAUAUAUCCUUAUCUUGAGUUUGUGAAUUAUGCUUAUGUUUUAAUUAUAUUUAAUUAUUUGAUUAAUUAAAAGAUAAAUAAUAAAAACAUAAUUGGUUUACUUUAAAUUAAUUUAAUUCUUUAAUUCCGAAAAUUGAAUUUAAACCUAGUACUUUGAAAAAGCUUCUAAAAUACACCUUAUAUAUAUAUAUAUAUANNNNNNNNNNNNNNNNNNNNNNNNNNNNNNNNNNNNNNNAAAUCAGUCGAAUCGCUAGUAGCCUCAUUCACGAAGCUGAACUAUAAGGGGGUAUAAGGAUACUACCUAUAAAAUUGCGGUUAAAUGGGUGUCCACUAUUACCAACCGCUUCCUUGUUUAGUGGAGGGUCGUUAGCAGAAUGAAUUUGAUAGGACAAUAACCUCAUUAAUAUGUAUAAUGAUAUAAAGUAACUAAACUCUUUUAUAAAAUCUCACUCUUAGUUACUUUAAGAAAAAUGUGAAAAGUAUAUUAAUCCAUAAAAUUACACAUUAUACUUUAUAGUAGUUAGUGGAGGGCGUGUGGUUAACCGGCACACUAAUAUGGGAUAUAAAGAGUAAUAAUGGGCAUCUCGAAAAUUAUCAUUGAUUAAUGGAGAGCGUGUGGUUAACCGACACACUAAUAUGAGAUGAUAAAUGACAUCGAGAGUGCCAAGCAUAUUUGUAUUGUUAUUCACAUCUUGUUUGUGAUCCUCGGCAUCCUAGCCACAAAUAGUAGAGAAUAAUCUCAAAUUAAACAUGCCAUUGAUAGAUUCAAUAAAUCUCCAAAGAUCUAGGAAUUUCAUAGUUCAAAAUUGGUAAAUUGAUUUUACCUACCUUUAUAAAUUUGCGAUAAGAUUACGACAUCCCUCUUCUUAAUUGUGAAUUGUUAUUUUGGAUCCUAGCCUUAAUUAUUUAUUAUGGGUUAAAAUAUUAAGGAUUAUUAUCAUCUGACUACAUCUUUAUGUCUAUAGAUGUCUACUCCUCUUCGCCGUCUACCCACCACUUUGGUUUCACCCUACUCUCUAUCGUGUCCAAGGUGACCUUUGAUGACACCAACUACAAUGACUGGAUGAGUAACAUCAAUAUGGCUCUUCGAUUCGAGGGCAAAGAAUAUGUCCUCGAAGAAAAACUCGUUGAAAUCGAUGAAGCCAAAGCUACUCUAGCACAAUUAGCCUCAUAUAAGAAACACUAUGAUGAUGUAACAAAAGUUGCUUGCAUCAUGGUCACUACAAUGUGGGUUGCAGAGGUUCUAUGUGGACUACUGGUCAUAUGAAAUGUACAAUGAUCUUAUGGAAAAGUACCACAAGAUAGCUCGUCAAGAGAAAUAUAAAGUGGUCAAGUCCACAGGGCUUGCAAGAUGAAAGAAGGAGAGUUUGUGUUCAACCACAUGUAGGGAAUCUAAAGAUAUGUGGAAUGCCUUAUUACGCUUAAUGUGAAUUUUAACGAGUAGUUGGUCAUUGACAUGGUCUUGAAAUCCUUGCCAAGUUGUUAUGAUCAAUUCAUAUUGGCUUAUCAUUUGAACAACAUAGAAACCACAUUGGCCCAACUCCACAACUUGCUACAGAUUGGUGAGUCAGAAAUGAAGGGAGAGAAUCCAACCCCUUCCACUAAUGCUCCAAUUCUCUGCAAUGGUAAGUUCAAAUUGAAGAAGAAGAAGGAUUCUCCCAAAGCUAAUUGGAAGAACAAGGCCCAAGCUUGGUCAUCUAGCAAUGGCCUGAAGACAAGGCCCAAAUCAGGCAUUCCAGCUGUUAGUGGCCGCAAAGAGGCCACUUAUUACUAUUGCAAUGAUAAGGGCCAUUAGAAGAGGAGCUGCCCCAAGGACCUUUAAGACAUCAAGGAUGACAAAGUGAAGCCAUCGCCAUCACGUACAUACACUAUUCAAACUAAUAACUCAUAAUUUACUCAUUCUUGGGUCGGUGAUACAAGAUGUGGUUUUCUCAUUUGUUCUGAUUUGAAAGGGAUAAAAGAAGGUGAAGAGGUGGAGCAUCGGAAGAUGAAUCUGAUCAUGGAAAAUACGUGAUCUUCUCAUGUUACCUUUAAGACAUCAAGGAUGACAAAGUGAAGCCAUCGCCAUCACUUACAUACACUAUUCAAACUAAUAACUCAUAAUUUACUCAUUCUUGGGUCGGUGAUACAAGAUGUGGUUUUCUCAUUUGUUCUGAUUUGAAAGGGAUAAAAGAAGGUGAAGAGGUGGAGCAUCGGAAGAUGAAUCUGAUCAUGGAAAAUACGUGAUCUUCUCAUUUUACCAAGAUUAGGACUUAUCAUCUUAUGCUUAGUAUUGUUGUUAGUUUAGAUUUUAUAGAUUAUUGCUAUUCAUCACAAAUGACGAGAAACAUUAUUUCAUUUCAUGCAUUGUUUAGACAAGAUUUUUGUUAUUCAGCUAAUGAUUUGAUUGGUUCAAUUUUUAUUUAUAAAAAUGGUGUUUUUAUAUUUGCAUCUUUACCUUGUAAUGGUGUGUAUGAAAAUAUGAUUUGUGUUGAUAGCUUAGGCAAUAAUGUAUUUCACAUUGAUUCAUCUAAUGGUUUGGACAAGGCAUGCUUGUAGCAUUGUCGUCUUGGGUACAUUAAUAAGAAACGUAUCGCUCAACUCCAAAAGGAUGGAGUCUUGGAAUCAUUUGACCUAAGGCUAGAUGAUGAAUGCAAAGCUUGUCUUUUGGUCAAGAUGACAAAAUCACCUUUCACUGGAUCUUAUGAAAGAGGUGAAGGUUUUUUAGGACCUUAUACACACAGAUGUGUGUGGACCUUCAAAUCCACCACAAGGGAUGCUAAUCGAUUUUAUGUAACAUUUACGGAUGAUUUUGGCAGGUAUGGUUUUAUCUACUUGAUCAAACAUAAAUAAGAACCUUUUGAAAAGUUCAAAGAGUUUCAUCAUGAAGUCAAGAAUGAGUUAGGUAGGAAGAUAAAGAUACUCUGAUUGGAUAGAGGAGGAGAAUAUCUUAGUAUCGAAUUCAACGACUAGCUCAAGUAAUGUGGAAUAGUUUCACAACUGACUCCUCCUAGAACACCACAACUUAAUGGUGUGGCUGAGAGGCGCACUCUAACCAUGCUGGACAUGGUUCGUUCCAUGAUGAGUCGAGUCACUCUUCCUAUUUCCUUCUGGGGGUAUACCUUAGAGUCAGCCACCCAUAUCCUCAAUCUUGUCCCAACGAAAAAAGGUUUCCAAAAAACCUCACGAAAUAUGGACAAGGAAAGUUCCCUCGUUAGCACAUAUCAAAGUCUAUGGUUAUGAAGCUUUCAUUAGAUGAGAGACUCAUGACAAGAUAGAAGCCAGAAGUAAGAGAUGUAUUUUCAUUGGCUACCCACAAAAGUAUUUUGGAAACUUGUUUUACAGACCUAGUGAAAAUGUGGUCUUUUUAGCAUGAAGAGGAGUCUAGAGAGAGAGAUAGAUAGAUAGAGAGAGAGAGAGAGAGAGAGCGUAUAUGUAAAGAGGAUAAUGGGAACAUAAUUGAACUUGAAGAGAUUUUAGAGUCAACCAAUAAAGGAACCUUAGAAGACACUAGCACUCAACCAAAGGAAGAUAUUCCAGUUGAUAAUUCAUUACCUCUUCGUCGUUCCAGUUGAGUUAGCAUGCCACUAACAUUCCAUGGUUUGCAUAUAACGCCAGAUGAUGAUACAUUUAUUAGUGAUCAAACACUAAUAAAUUUCGAUGAGCCAGCUAACUACAAGGAAGAGAUGGCAGGCCCUGAGGGUACCAAAUGGAAAGAGGCAAUGGACAACGAGAUCAAGUCCAUGUAUGACAACCAAGUUUGGAAUUUGGUUGAUCAAGAACCUAGUUGAAAGACAGUUGGUUGAAAAUGGAUCUUCAAGAAGAAGACCGACAUAGAUGGAAAUGUGCACACAUUCAAGGAACGAAUGGUUAUGAAGGGAUUUACUCAAACCUAAGGAUUGACUAUAAUGAGACAUUCUCACCAGUCGCCAGGAUAAAAUCUAUUAGGAUAAUGCUUGCCAUAGCUUCUUUUCAUGAUUAUGAAAUUUGGCAGAUGGAUGUCAAAACCGCUUUUCUUAAUGGAACUGGUUGAAGAUGUUUACAUGAGUCAUCCAUAGGGUUUUGUUGAUGCAAAGUUUCCCAAUAUAGUGUGUAAGCUUGAGAAAUCCAUUUAUGGAUUGAAACAUGCAUCUCGCAGCUGGAAUCUUUACUUCCAAGAGAAAGUGAAAUAGUUUGUUUUUUUUCUAACAGUGAAGAUGAUAAUCGUGUGUAUGUCAAGGCUAGUGGGGGUAUAGUAACUUUUCUAGUAUUGUAUGUUGAUGACAUACUACUUAUAGGAAACGACGUUCCAACCUUGCAAGAAGUAAAAUCUUAGUUUGGAAAGGGUUUCGCUAUGAAGGCUCUAAGAGAGGGUGCCUAUAUUCUUGAGAUAAUAAUUUUGAGAGGUAGAAAAGAAAGAAUGAUUAGACUUAGUCAAAGUACAUACUUGGACAAGGUACUAAAAUGAUUUAUUAUGGAAAAUCCAAGAAAUGAGAGAUACCUGUUCAGAGCAUUUCCAAAUUGAGUAAGACUCAAAGCCCCUGUACAGAUGAAAAGAUAGACGAUAUGAGUUGAUUCCCUUAUGCUUCCGCUUUAGGAUCGAUCAUGUAUCCUAUGCAUGUACUCACCAUGAUGAGUCAUUUUCUUUAAGCAUACUCAGUCGCUAUUAAGGAAAUCCUGGCAGAGCUCAUUGGACAGCAGUUAAAAGCAUUCUCAAGUAUCUGUGAAGGACAAAAGGUAUGAUUCUAUUCUUUGGAGGCAGUGAUACAUUGAGAGUGACUGGAUAUAGUGAUGCUAACUUUCAAAAAGAUAGAGACGACUUUCGUUCUCAUUCUAGCUGGGUGUUGACAUUAAAUGGUGGAGCAGUUACUUGGAGAAGUUUCAAGCAAGACACAAUAGCUGAUUCUACGUGCGAAACAGAGUACAUAACGGUAAGUGAGGAGAGUUUCAUUGGAAGACAAUCAUAUAGAUCCUCUCACAAAGGCUCUAAGUAUGAUUAAACAUAUUUAGCAUGCUAGGAACAUUGGUUUGAGAGAUGAAAUUAGUUUUAGUAGUUAGAUGAUUAGUUUGAAACCUAUAACAAAAUAAAUGUAAUUGAUUUUUAGUGAUUAAAUAAUAGAGAUUAUUUAUGAGUUUGUUUACCUCCUUUGUCAAUUAUUUAUUCUUGUGUUUCAUUUUGCAUGUUUUACUUCCCAAAUAAUUUAAUUAUUCAAAUUCCACGGUCACUCAUACUUUGGGAAGUAAGUAGUGAAUUAAGACUGUCAUGAAUUGGAUUGUAGAUUUUCUAAGGGGGUUAGACAUAACAAUUGAAUUGCUAAAACAUUCAUGAGUACUUAGAAAUGGAGAUUGAAGUAUUGGAUAAAAUCACGCUCGGAGAAUUACUUCAUGGAUUAUAUCACGAGUAAUUCUGAGAAGAUAAUAUCUUACAUUCUUAAAAAGGAGAUAUAUGAGUUGUAAUUUACAAUUCGGUUGUGCAUUGGUAUGACGAAAACGCAUAAAAAACUGGAUGUUAUAAAACGUAGUGUCAUGUAUAAUUUGAUAAGUAAAGGAUACAAGCAUAUGAGUCAAAUUUUAUUCGUUCCUUUUUCCCUAAUGUAAAAAACGAUAUCUUUGGGCCCCUAAAUGAUUUGGUGUUGACUUAUAGUUCUGGGACCAGCCAGGACUCGAUUGAUGUGUUCAAUUUGAAGUCUUAUGUAGUCAUCACAAAUCAGGAUAUUGAGAAAUGAAACUUGGACAAUGAGAUUGAUUGUAAGCAUGUUUUGUGUCUAUAUGAUAUCUAGUAGAAUGGUGAAAUAUUUAAACACUUAUCUUAGGACGAAUGUAUGUUUUGAUCAAAGUUCGUCAGUUGUUAUGGAAACACUCUUUGUUGUCUAAUUUAGAAGUUAUACUGGUAAUUGCAGUUAUAGAUUUAUCCAAGUGGGAGAAUAUUGGAUUAGAUGUCUAACCCAAUAACUAAAUUAGUAUGUCCUUUGGCGUUGCCCUCAAACCUAGCAGUUGAAUAGGAUGACUUAUAUANNNNNNNNNNNNNNUAUAUAUAUAUAUAUAUAUAUAGAGAGAGAGAGAGAGAGAGAGACAUUGAUAUAGUGAUUUAUUAUAUGAUUAAUAAAUAGCAAUAAAUAAAUUUAUUAAUGUGUUAUGAAAACUAUAUAUUAAUUAGAAAUUGUAUUAGUUAAUCAAUAAUUAAUCAGAAAUUAAUUGGAAUUAAUUUUGGGAUUAAUUGGAUUAAUUAAAAGUUCAAGGUUUAGAGUGUAAUUGUUUAAUUGUUGAACAAAAGAGGUUCCAGAACUUUCCUUGGAAUGAGUGGACGAUUUUAUGGUAUUCUAAGUCAUCUGUAAUAUUCCUUGCAGAUAAAUAAGAAUCUGGAUAAUUACCAAUUGGAAAAGGAACCCUUGGCCUUGUAUUUUUGGCCCCUUCUCCUUUCCUAGAUUUACCCGAAAAUUCUAUCUCCCCUCUCCUCUCUCUUUAAUCCUCCUUGUUGCUAGGGAUGUGUGUGAAUCAUCAGAGGCAUGAGAUUUCUGGUGCUAGUUUCCAAGCAACUACAAGAAGGAUUGUUUGAUUGUUUAUUAUAACAAUCAAGUGGUAUGUUUUCUUCUAUGAUUUUUGUAAUUACCUAGGGUUAUAGGGUUCUUUUUGUUCAAUAGAAUGUUACUUUAAUAUAGUUAUGACUAGAUCUAAUAGGUUGCAUGUACCAUUAAGUGUAUAAGGAUUUAUCCGCGUUAUUGCAUGUAAAAUCCAACAAAACAAUUGGUGGAUGAAGUGACUGUUAGUGCUAACAUGGCAAGUACUUCAUGUAAUUAUGUUUUUGUGAACACUCUAAAGUCAAAUAAAGGGUGGUUGAUUCUUGGGUUAAUUAACAUAUGACCUCCUCAGAAUCUAUGCUUAAUGAUGUUUUUAAUGUGUCUAAUGUAAAUUCAAUAUUGGAUUGUCCAAAUGGAUCCACUGCUAAAAUUGAUAAAAUUAGGAACAUGAACAUUUCUGAAAAACUUACACUAUUUGAUGUAUUUGUUAUACUCGAUUUCAAUGUAAAUCUUUUAUCUGUUCACAAGCUAUGUAAGGAUAGUAAAUGUAAAGUUCUUUUUGAUAAAUAUAAUUAUACUAGGUGGGAUUCACAAUCCAUGGAGAUUGUGGAGACUAGUAAUGAGGGAGGAGGACUUUAUUAUUUUUCUAGUAUUCCCUUAGGAAAGCCUUCUAACAAUUCUAGUGUCAUUAAAUGUUUUGUCUCUAAACUGACCUGGCAUAGAAGACUUAGUCAUCCUCCAAAGAAAGUUUUAAUUGCUUUAAAAGACAAAUUAAACUUUAUUAAUAACUCCUUACCACCUUCUGAAAUAUGUCAUAAAGCUAAACAAACUAGCGAAAUAUUUCCUACAAUUAUUUACUCGUAUAAAAAUAUUGGGGAUAUAAUUUACCAUGAUGUUUGCGGGGCUUACAAAGUGGUUGUAAUUGGGGGUUUUAGGUUUCUCUGACUAUAGUGGAUGAUUUUUCUAUAGGAACAUGGAUAUAUCUCCUCAAGUCUAAAGAGGAGGUGUAUUCUUGUGUUUUAAUUUUUUAAAUUUUGUUGAAAAUCAUUUUUUAAAAUGGUGUGAUACAAUGAAUUUUAGUUAUAUUCUGAGGAUAUAUAUANNNNNNNNNNNNNNNNNNNNNNNNNNNNNNNNNNNNNNNAGUAAUGUCACUUGGAACUUAGAUAAUAACUUUUAAAAUGAAACAGAGUAAUAAAAAGGCAUAGACUGAAGGAAAGCAAAAAUGAAUGUUGUUCAAAAUAAAUGGGGAACAUUUAUGAUGAUUGUGAAUAUUUAGAGUUUGGGGAGUAGUUAGGAUCUAGACAUAAAUAAAUGCAUUGAGGUGAAAGAUAAUUGAUAAAUUAUGUUGUUGGUGAGCAAGGUUUUGAUGUGGUAGUAUUAAAAUUAAAUCAUAAUGCCUCAAGUUUUGCUUGGGUUCAAGCAAAAGAAUAGUGUGUGGUAUUUUGAUAUAGCGCUAUUUAAAUAUAUUUUAAGGCAUUAUCGUAAUAUAUUUGAGGAAAAAUGUUAUCUUUUAAGAUAGAUACUUAAUAUGAUUUGAAAUGUUCAAUUAUUGUUAAAAUGGAACCUGGGAUGCAAAAGGAGGAGAAUGGAGCUGAAAAAGACGCAAAAAAGGAUGUUUUUGCACAGAUUGACAUCUCUUUAGUAUUUUGGCCUAUCUAAUGACUCAUAACACCGAUUAUGGAUAUUCAAAAUGUUAUGAAAACUAGACAAAAUUUCGGACGACUUUUGUGUUUGUGCCAACUACAAAUUUCCAGUUCCCAUGUUGUGGCAAAGGCAUUACCACGAUGUGGUGGAUCAAAAAUCACAAAAAAUGCUUUUGUCAGUUUACACGGUUGACUACGAUAGGGAUUCCAGUUAUCACGACGUGUCAAGUCUUUUACCAUGAUGUGGGGACGCUUAAACCUAUAAAUAAAUCUAAAAAUUAACCCUAAUGAUAUAUCUUAAAUCCUAGUUCGAUUUCUGUGAUUAUAAACCUUAAAGUUGCGAUUUUGAGAGUCUAGAAGGCAAUAUGAGGGCCGUUAAGCUGAUAUGGAGCGAAGACCUGAAGGAUUCUAGAGCAGAUUCAUGACGAGAUUCAUUUGGUUUUCUUUUCCGAUCACGAUUAGUAUUCCAAUUGUGUUCCUACUAUGUUUACUUUCUGAAUUUGGGUGUUGAAACAUUUGCUUUUGUUUGGAGUAGAUGAACUUCGAUAAUAUGUGUUGAAUUCAAUAAUUCAUAUUUUAUUAGUUUGGUUGUUAAUUGUGGUUGAUUGAUCGCAUCACCUAUCAUGUUAAAGUUAUGAUUUUUAUUGCAUAUUGAUGAAUUAUGUGUAGUUCAGAUGACCAAUCUGAUUACAUUGACUUGAAUCUUAGCUGUUUUAUGAAUAUAAAGUGUUAGGAUUAGUAAUCGAAAAAAUCCUAGGGUUAGGUUAUAUUAAUUGGUGAUUUCGAAUGUGUUAGAGAGCUUAGAUAUCCAUGCUAAUCGAGAUUAAACAUGUCAUUGAAAAGUUCAAUGAAUCUCAAAAGAAUCUAGGAAUUUCAUUUCAUUUAAAACCUAAAUGUUCAUUUCGUUUUUCGUGGUGGAAUUGGUAAAUCGUCACUUACCUACCUUCAUAUAAUUUGCAAUUGGAUUACGGCAUCCCUCUUCCGAAUUGUGAAUUAUAGUGUUGGGUCCUACCUUUAAUAUUUCAUUUGGGUGUUGUAUUAAGGAUUGCUUAUCUAAUAGAAACUUUUUUCCUUUUCUUUUUCAGUUGUCUGGCUCAAACAAUGCUUCUAGCUUGAACUCCUCAAGCUCCUUUUCUCUUAUGAACUUUUGUGGGAGGGUCACCUUUGAUGAAUCCAAUUUCAAUGAUUGGAUCCGCAACAUUCGCAUGGCCCUUCGAUACGAGGAGAAAGAAUACGUCCUCGAUGAAAAGCUUAGAGAGAUAAAUGAAACCAAAGCUUCUGCUGAAGAAAUAACUGAGUAUAGGGAUAACGAAAAAGACACGACAAAGGUGUCGUGUAUAAUGGUAGCCACUAUGACUCCUGAGCUCCAGCUAUUCUACGAGGACUACCGACCUUACAAGAUGUGCCAAGAUUUGAUAGGAAAGUACCAUCAAAGUGCGUGUCAAGAGAGGUACGAGAUUUUCGCCUCAUUGAUAACGACCAACAUGAAAGAUGGAGAGUCCAUCACGAGCCACUUACAAAGAAAGCAAAGGUAUAUGGAUCGAUUGCUCAUGUUAAAUUUCAACUUUGACAAAGGGUUGGCGAUUGUGUAACACUCUAAAAAUUCCAACCAAUUUAAACUUUUCAAAAACAACCCAGUUUCAUUAAGUUAUUACAAAAAGGUUUUCAAUACAUUUAUUAUCGGAGUAUUCCCAGAACCAUAUCAUAAAACAAGAAAAUGAGGAGUUGUACGAUCACGCCUUCGCUUUGCCACGGUCUCCUGAAGUACCUGAAAGACAUUAAACCACAACUGUAAGCCCGAAAGCUUAGUGAGAUGCCCCCAAAAUACCAACCACAUAUACCACACAUAACAUAUCAUAACCGAAUAGAACAGCCAUGCACUUCGGGUUUACUUGUGUGACUGGUCCGCCACACCGGGCCUUCAGUCCACCGGGUCCUCCCUCCGGGUCUAGCCAUAUCCAUUGAGUCUGCAGUGUGGUUGGUCCGCCUGCACCGGGCCUUCAACCCACCUGGUCCACCCUCUGAGUCUACAGUAUGACUGGUCCGCCCGCACUAAGCCUUCAGUCGUCCUGGUCCAUUCUCCGAGCCUCGGCACAUCUGGUCCGCCCUCGUGGGGUGUUCAGCCUAUCCGGACCGCUCGCUGGGCCUCGGAAUAACCGGUCCGCCCUGGGUAUGUUGGCCUACAACACAAAGCAGGACUCGCCUCAACCUAACUCCAAUCCAACAACCAUGUGCACAUAAACAUUCAAUCAUAUAACAAUUCACAUCCAAUCAAACCGAUCUAGCAGAUCACAUAACAUCACAUCAUCCUAACCAAGAUACCGACCUAACCGGUCACUAGCAUAGCAUCAUCCUACAUAUCAGGAUACCGGACAUAGCAAAGCAAUAACAUAACAACAAUACCCAGAUUACAAUCUGAUAAAGGGCCGGUCUUGGUGCCGCAGACCCUGUCGAUAUAGUGAGGAUAACUCACCUCGCAACUGCCGACUGAAAAGAUAAAAACGAGCUGCUCCGACCACUGACACGAACUCCACCACUGAUAAUACCAAAAGACUGAACUCAAUAACCACCAAAUAAUUACCAAAUUACCCCUGGGAGGUCAAUUUGUCAACUCUUGGUCAAAUUCAAAGUCCUCAGUUAAAGUCAACUCUCUUGACUGACUCUACUCGCCGAGUUACCCCGUUGACUCAUCGAGUUCCCUUGCUCAGAAAACUCCCAAAUCACAAUUCAACUCGCCGAGUCACCCCGAGACUCGCCGAGUUCCACAACUCUGAGUCCCCUCGCACUCAACUCACUGUGUCAUCCCUUGACUCACCGAUUCACGACUCAACCAGAAGAGGUUAGGACCUCCCGACCAGACUCGCCGAGUCCAAGGCCAUCUUCAACCAACUCGCCGAGUUGUUCUUCCAACUCGUCGAGUUCCUGCCUAUCUUCAUGCAACUCACUGAGUACACCCUUGUGACUCACCGAGUACCCCUAGGUCUUAAUCCAUACAGAGGCUUUCCAGGCCAUGCGGAUGAUCCAAACAAUAGAUCUACCAUUCCACAAGCCAUCCAUCACGUAAAGUGGCAAACUUUACGUGAAUCCAAAGAGAUCUAGGCAUAUAACACUUUAGGGUUAGGGUUUAGGACAAGAUGGCUUCACCAAUCACUCAAGAACAGGGACUUUUAUGCACUCUAGACCUUCUCCAUUCCAGAUCUGAGGUAGCAACCUCAUAUCUAACCUCCAAACUCAAAAUAUCAUAAGAUAUGCUUUCCAAAAACUCCAAAAUGAUGAAUCUAGAUGAAUAACAGCCCAAGCAACGAAAUAAUACCUCAAAAGAAAACUCCAACAGAAGAGUAAUCCAAAUCCUUGCAAAGCCCUUUGCUCCAAGCCUCUUAACCUUCAAAGAUCUCUUCCACAAACACUCCUCCAAGGUUCAAAUGCUCUCUAAUUCACUCACAAACGCGCAUUAGGGUUUCUAGACUUCAAGGGAGAGUAAGGAGGCUGGGGAGGGGGUAUUAUGUCCCUUAUAUAGGACUCAACCCCCAGAAUUAGGGUUUUCUCCACACAACACCAACUCGCCGAGUCCAGCCACCGACUCGCUGAGUUGGCCACUUAACACGCGACCAGAAUCGCGACCCUACUCGCCGAGUCCACCCAUGGACUCGCCGAGUUGAUCAUCCACAUUUUCACUAUGAUCCCUGAACUUGCACUCCUGAGCUUGGGAUGUUACAGAUUGAUAUCAUUCUCUACUCUUUACCUCGUUGAUAUGAUCAGUACAAGAUGACUUAUGAUAUGAACAAGGAGGAAGUCACCUUGAGAAAACUUCAAGGUUUGUUGAGAACUGCUGAAAGUGGAAUGAAAACUAAAGCUGUCAAGUCCACCCCUACUAUUGCUGCCCCCGUCCUUGCAAUAGGACAUGAAAAAGGAAAGAAGAGGAAAGCUCCCUCUAAGAGCCACACGGGAAAGUCUCGUGAUGGAUCCUCCUUAAAUGGAUCCAAAGGUAAAUCCAGUUCUGCCACUCCCUCAUCCGAUCCUAAAAAAAGCAACGUGCUUUUAUUGUCACGGGAUGGGGCAUUGGAAACAAAGUUGCCCGAAAUACUUGUAGUACAUCAAGGAUGGGAAGAUAAAACCCUCCUUCGCAUGUAUUUAUACUAUUCAAUCUAAUAAGUCAUCACAUGCUAGUUGUUGGGUCCUUGAUAUAGGAUGUGGUUUUCACAUUUGUUCUGCUUUGCAGGGGCUAAGAAGAAAUAGGGAUGUGGAGCAUGGGAAGAUGAACCAGAUAAUAGGGAAUAGGAAAUCGUCGCCUAUCACCAAGAUCCGGAUUUAUUCUUUAGUGAUUAGUAGUGGGUUAGGUUUAGAGUUGAAUGAUUGUUGCUACUCAUCAGAAAUGACGAGGAAUAUUAUUUCUUUUCAUGGUUUGUACAAACGAGGUUUUAGAUUUUCAUUUAAUAGUGAAAUUGGUUCUAUUAAUGCUUUAUAUAAUGGUACUUUAUAUUUUGAUGCAUUUCCAAUGGUGUAUAUGAAACUAUGAUGGUUGUAGACAACUUAGGAAAUAAUGUGUUGCAUAUCGAUUCGUCUAAUGGUUUAGACAAGGCAUUCUUGUGGCAUUGUCGCCUUGGACAUGUCAACAAGAAACGCAUAGCGCAACUCCAAAAGGAUGGAGUCUUGGAGUCUUUUGACCUAAAGUCAGAUGACACGUGCAAAUCUUGUUUGUUUGGAAAAAUGACUAAAUCACCUUUCAAUGGUACUUCUGAAAAAGGUGAGGCAUUGUUGGUGUUGGAUAAGGUGUCUAAGUCCGUAACUAUAUUUGGUAUCAACUUGACCCGACCCAGCAUGGUCCAUUUGGGUUGCACUUCACCUAACAAUUUGUAUGGAUAUACUUUUGAAAAUAAGAUAUUUAUGAUAUAUUAAUAUAUUAUUAGUUAUAAUAUAUUAAUAUGAUAUCAUAAUUAUUUAAUUAGUAUUGAUCAAGAAUUAAUUUAGAAUUAAUUAAGUGAUCAAAAUGGAGCUAAUUAAAUAUGGACUCUUAUUUAUAUAUAUGGAUUAGGCUAAGAUUUAUUUAGGAUGGGCUAAGUGUAUAUGGAGUCCAUGGAUAGUCCAUGGAGCUUUUAACCCAUGGAUCCUAGGUAAAUGAAGAGUCACAGGUAUUAGGGUUUAACCCUAAUCCUCCAUACUAUAUAAAGGAGUCCUUGGUUCGAGAAUUGGCACUAGUGUGUGUGUGUGAGCAUAAGAGUGAGCCGAUUUAUACGAGUGUUCUUAUUCUCUCAAGAGCUUCCAACUUGUUUUGGUGAUUUGUGACAUCACUUGAGGCAUCCACACUAUUGGUGCUAGCCUCAAAACUCCAAGCAAUCAACUACAAAAGAAAGGUAUGUUAUUCUACUUAAUGUUUUAUAAUACAAGUACCCCAUAACAUGCUAGUUAGGUUGUGAACCAUGGAAUUCAUAUUUGCAUGUAUUUUAUAGAAAACAUAGAUCCAAGGUUUCUAGGGUUGCAUGUACACCACAAGAGUGUUAUUAUGCUCAUAACCCAACAUUUGAAUCUCUUACAUACCGAUAUGUGUGGGCCCUUCAAAUCCACCAUAAGGGAUGCUAACCGCUUCUAUGUUACGUUCACUGAAGAUUAUAGCAGAUAUGGGUAUAUCUACUUAAUCAAGCAUAAGUCGGAAACCUUUGAAAAGUUCAAAGAGUUUAAACAAUAAGCGGAGAAUCAAUUGGGCAGGAAGAUACAGAUGCUCAUAUUUGAUAGGGGUGGUGAGUAUCUUAGUAUCGAGUUCCACGACUAUCUUCAUGAAUGUGGAAUUUUUUCACAACUGACGCCGCCUAGGACACCGCAGCUCAUUGGUGUGGCUGAGAGGCACAAAUGAACCUUAUUGGACUUGGUUUGUUUAAUGAUGAGUCGAGCUUCGUUACCUAUCUCAUUUUGGGGGUAUGCCUUAGAGACUGCCACCCAUAUCCUUAAUCUAGUCAUAACUAAGAAGGUUUCCAAAACACCUCACCAGAUAUGGACAUGGAAGGUUACCUCGUUGGAACAAAUCAAGGUUUGGGGUGGCGAAGCUUUCGUAAGACGAGAGACUCACAACAAACUUGUGUUGGAUUAGGUGUCUAAGCCCAUAACUAUAAUUGGUAUGUACUUGACCCGAUAGUAGCAUGAUCCUUUUGGGUUGCAUUCACCAGGGCAAUUUUGAUAGGAUGGAUAUUUAAGAAAGAGGUUCUUUGUGAUUUAUUAAUAUAUUAUAAGUAUAAUAUAUUAAUUGACAAAUCAUAUUAUUUAAUUAGUAUUGUUCAAGAAUUAAUUUAGUGUUCAAAGAAGACUAAUUAAAUUAACAUGGACUGAUUAAGUAAAUCAGUGAUACUUAUAGUUUGGGCUAAUGAUCAAUGUUGAUUACGUAGACUAAAUCUUUGUGGAGUCCAUGAAGAUUUAGUCCAAAUGGCUUAUCAUAUGGAUUAUUGGAUUAAAGGCCCAAGGGAGUGGAUUAGGGUUUACAAGUUGAAACUCUAGGAAUUCCACACUAUAAGUGUAACUCUUUAGCUCCAAAACUGGCACCCAAGGAUUCCAAGUAGAAUCCUAGCCGAUUUUGUGUGUUCAUGACCUCUCUCUCUCUUUAUCAUCCAUUUGUUCAUGGUGUCUUGUGAUUCCAUUAGAGGCAUCACACUUAAGGUAUUCAACCAACUUGAUUUUAUGUUGCAAAUAUCAAAUUGUAUGCUAGUUGUAGGCUUCAUGCUUUGGAUAAUUUUAUUGCAUGUAUAACUAGAGAAAACUUAGAUCCAAAGCAUUAGGGUUGUAUGUGCACCAUAGGAAUGUUAGAGUACAUAAAACCCAACAACUUGAAACUCGCAGUGAGCGGUGUAUUUUCAUUGGCUACCCGCAGAAGUCUUUUGGAUAUCUUUUCUAUAGAACGAGUGACAACGUCGUCUUUGUAGCAAGUAGAGGGGUUUUUCGAGAGAGAGAACUCAUAUGCCAAGAAGACAGCGGGAGGCAAACUGAUAUUAAAGAGCUUCAAGAGUCAAGUGAUGAAGGAACCUCUAACACUAGCGCUCAAUUUGAGGAAGAGAUUCAUGUUAAACCAGUUGAUGAGUCCUUACCUCUAAGACGUUCUAGUAGAGUUAGUGUUCCACCUAUGUUGUAUCGUUUCCACAUAACUGCUGAAGGUGAUACAUUUAUCAAUGAUAGUACUGUAACAUCCCAAAUUUCGAGGCCAAAAAUUUCAUUUUUAGAAUUUAGCAUGUAAUAAGGCGUGUUACUAAAACAUUGUCAAAGUUACAUUAAUUAUAAAACAUAAGGUCAUGUCUCAAAAUGAUAUCAUCGGAACAAGAAAAUCAGAGUACAAUCCCAGAAAAUCCAGUGCGGAAAUCAUGUGUGUGAUGCGCCGCUACACCGCCGGCUCUUUCCCCUUUGACGAAGAGGUACCUGAAACCGCAAUUAAAACUGUAAGCACGAACCUUAGUGAGUUCCCCCAUCAUACCACAUACCAUUCAAUGCCAUCGGUAUUGUUCAACCGGUAAUCAUCUUCGGUAUCUUUCAACCGGUAAUCAUCAUCGGUAUCUUACAACCGAUAAUCAUCAUCAGUAUCUUUCAACCGGUAACUGGGGUCUAUUCCACCCCCUACUACUACUGACAUACAACAACAAGGUAUAAGCAUACAAUCAGGCAUAUCCGAGUACUGACGUACUCUUCGGUCCUAAAAGACCAUUGUUAGGGAAAAACUAUCCCUAUCAUACACAUAACAUAUCAUACAGAAAUAUCUCAUAACCAAACACGUAUCCAUACCGAGAUAAUUAUCACGAAGACAAUCAUCUUCUAAAAUAAUCCUACUUGGUGGGCCGGCAUUGUGGCCUUAGACCCACCCUUAUUGAAAGGUAACUCACCUCAAAAGGCUGACUGCUGAAAAACUGAUCCGCAAAUGUCUGACAGCUACUCCGGUGAUCCCCCGGCUAUAUUCCUAUAAAACACUUAAUCAGACAAUAAUACUAAUCCUAGGGUAAAAAGACUAUUUUACCCCUGAUCGAUUCCAAACCAAAGUCAAGUCAAAGUCAACUUCCAGUUGAUCCGACUCGCCGAGUUGGCAUGCCAACUUGUCGAGUUCAUAUCCAGCCGAUUGACCUUACUCCCGCCUCUACUCGUCGAGUUAGGCAUUGACUCGACGAUUUCUCUUCCUAACUGAAUACACAAUGGUCCUUCAUCCAACUCGUCGAGUUAAUAUUCAUCCGAUGAACACGUUCUGUCCUCGACUCGCCGAGUUGAUGAAUAACUUGCCGAGUUUUAUGAAGAUUGCCUUGGACCCGCCGAGUCAGGGCAUUGACUCGCCGAGUCCCUCCAUUGAUGAGUUUGGCUUCCGACUCACUGACUCUACCUAUGGCUCACUGCUCUACUCGCCUUCUCGAAAAGGGGAAAAAUCGGGGACUCGCUACUCGACUCGCCGAGUUCGAAGAACAACUCGCCGAGUCGCAUCCAUGCAAUCUCUCUAUACUCGAUUCUGCUUGAAUCCAGUGCAUUCCAUUCAUAGAUCUGGGUUCCUAGGACUCGGUUAACACGUAAAGUUUCCAACUUUACGUGUAUAUAAUCAUCCAUGGGGAUUCUAAGGCUCAAAACACACAAAAAGGGGUAGAUCUAGGGCUUUCAUGCAAUAUGGCCCCAUAAAGGUAUUAGAUCUAGGCUUCUGGAACUCGAACAUAGCCAGAUCUAGCAGCUAUUCAGCCCAUUAUGAUCCCUAUACUACUGACAAGCUUGGAAAUGGGUCAAAGAUAGCUUAAUGGUGUUCUAAUGGGGAUUUGAGCAUAGAAACAGAAUAGAUCCGAAUUGUAACUCAAUGAACUCUGGAGUAAGUCCUAGAUUCUUGCUCUUCACCUUCUCUUUUGGUCUUUCCUUCCUUCUCUUCUUCAAACUCCAAGGAACAAGCACAAGAUUACUUCAAAUCACAAGGAGAGGGUUAGGGUUCGGUAUAUGAUGCUUUGAGGGUGAUGGAGGCUAACUUGGGGCGCAUAAAGGGGGUUUAAAUAGGGUGCAAACCCCUGAAAUUAGGGUUUCUUCAAGACUGAUGGACUCGCCGAGUCUCGAACUUAAACGUGCUCAAAAUCCCGUCCCUACUCGGCGAUUCUGGCCUACGACUCGCCGAGUCCAAGGCUAAAAAAGGUAAAAUACUCAGAUAAAUCAUACAUACCAGGAACCAGGUGCUACAAGUCUCCCCCGCUUAUUUUAGACUUCGUCGUCGAAGUCUGUUGCUCGAUCCUGAAAUAGCUCGGGGUAAUGCUCCAUCAUUUCCUUCACCGGCUCCCAAGUCCACUCCGAACCCUUCCGGUGCUGCCAUGGCACCUUCACAAGUUCCACCCUGUUGCUCUUUAGAUCCCUCGACUUUCGGUCGAGGAUUACCACUGGUCGCUCAAUGUAAUUCAGGUUGCCAUCGACCUGAAUAUCCUCCAGGGGUACCACCGCUGAGUCGUCCACCAGACACUUUCGUAAAUGAGAAACAUGGAAAGUGUUGUGUAUCUGACUGAGUUUGGAUGGCGGAUCCAGCCUAUACGCCACCUUGCCCACCCGGGCCAGAACCCUGAAAGGUCCAAUGUAUCUGGGGCCCAACUUGCCCCGUUUCCUGAAUCGGAUGACGUCGUUCCAUGGCGACAACUUCAGGAGAACCAUAUCCCCGACCUGGAAUUAUAGGUUUGAUCGGCGCUUGUCGGCGUAACUCUUCUGCCGACUCUGAGCAGUCUGAAGCCUGCUCCGAACCUGUUGAAUCCUCUCGGUCGUCUUGAGCACCACUUCGGUGCUCUCCAUGACCCUUUGGCCUACCUCACCCCAACAUAUCGGGGUCCUACACCUCCUUCCGUAUAACAUCUCAAAAGGAGGACGGUCAAUACUCGUGUGGUAACUGUUGUUGUAUGAGAACUUAGCCAAAGGAAGAUAGGUAUCCCAGCAACCACUGAAGUCUAGCACGUAUGCCCACAGCAUAUCCUCCAGAGUCUGGAUGGUCCUCUCAUUCUGACCAUUUGUCUGCGGGUGAAAAGCAGUGCUAAAAUGUAGACGAGUACCCAGCUCGUCAUGGAACUUCUUCCAGAACCUGGAAGAAAACCGCACAUCCCUGUCCAAAAUCACCAAAACUAGCACUCCGUGCCGCGCCACCACCUCCCUGAUAUAGAUAUCGGAUAAUUUCUCGGCCGAGAUGCUCUACUGAAUCGGGAUAGAGUGGGCGCUCUUGGUCAAUCGAUCGACGAUGACCCAGAUCGAAUCCACUCCCCGCGCGGUCCUAGGAAGCUUGGUGAUAAAAUCCAUCGUGAUGUCUUCCCAUUUCCACAACGGAAUCUCUAACGGCUGCAUCUUGCUGUGGGGCCUCUGGUGCUCGGCCUUGACCUUCCUGCAGGUCAAGCACUGCUCCACGUACCAAGCGACAUCCCACUUCAUGCAGGGCCACCAAUAGUCCAGACGAAGAUCCCUAUACAUCUUCGUCGCCCCGGGAUGAAUGGAGAACCGGGAUUUGUGCACCUCCUCCAUCAGAACCUGGCACACGCCUCCAUGAUAAGGGACCUACACCCUACGGUGAAGAGUCAACAACCCUCGGCUAUCAUAGUUGAAGGAGGAAACCUGCCCCACAAUCCGCUCACUCUUCCAAUGUUCCUCCUUCAUAGCCUCCUGCUGGGCCUCUCGAAUCCGCUCCAAAAGCGGAGUCACCACUGUCAUCCUCAGGCAAAUAUCUCGGAUCGGCGCUGCCUUGCGGCUAAGCGCGUCAACCACCACAUUGGCUUUCCCCGGGUGGUAGAGGAUCACACAAUCAUAAUCCUUUACCACGUCAAGCCACCGACGCUGCCUCAUGUUCAGAUUCGGCUGGUCCAUGAGAUACCUCAGGCUCUUUUGGUUCAUGUAAAUGGUACAACGAACCCCAUAGAGGUAAUGACGCCAAAUCUUGAGGGCGAACACAACAGCCCCCAACUCCAAAUCAUGCGUCGGGUAGUUCGCCUCGUGAGGCUUCAGUUGCCUUGAAGCGUAAGCAAUAACGUGCCCUCUCUGCAUCAACACUGCGCCCAAACCCGAGAUGGAUGCAUCACAAUACACAACAAAAUCCUCUAUGCCCUCUGGCAGGGCUAAGAUUGGUGCCUCGCAUAAUUUUUGUCUCAACGUCUCGAAUGCGGCCUGCUGCUCGGGCCCCCAACGAAAAACCACGGCUUUCCCCGUCAACCUGGUCAGAGGUACGACUAUCUUGGAGAAGUCCCGAAUAAAUCUCCGAUAGUAGCCCUCCAAUCCUAGGAAGCUCCGAAUCCCGGAUGGAGACCUCGGGACCUCCCAUUUCAUCACGGCCUCCACCUUGGCCGGAUCCACUAAUAUCCCGUCCUGGUUGACAAGGUGCCCCAAAAACUGCACCACGCGCAACCAGAACUCACACUUGGAGAAUUUAGCAUAUAAGCUCUCCCUCCUUAAAGUACUCAGAUCCUCACGCAAAUGCUCCUCAUGCUGCUCUCGUGUCUUGGAAUAAACCAAGAUAUCUUCAAUGAAAACAAUCACGGACCGAUCCAACAUCGGCCGACACACACGAUUCAUGAGAUCCAUGAACGCGGCAGGAGCAUUGGUGAGCCCGAAAGGCAUCACCACAAACUCAUAAUGAACAUAGCAUGUACGAAAAGCAGUCUUCUGCACAUCCUCCUCUCUGACCCUCAUCUGAUGAUACCCUGACCGCAAAUCAAUCUUGGAGAACCAAGAUGCUCCCUGAAGCUGGUCGAAGAGGUCAUCGAUCCUCGGGGGUGGGUACCGGUUCUUCCCCGUUACCUUGUUCAGCUCCCGGUAGUCUAUACACAUCCGAUGCGACCCGUCCUUCUUCUUUACAAACAUAAUCGGGGCUCCCCAGGGUGAACUACUCGGUCUAAUGAAUCCAUUGUCUAACAACUCCUGCAGCUGUGUAGACAACUCCAGCAUCUCAGGAGGAGCCAACCGAUACGGCGCCUUGGCUAUCGGAGCCGCGCCAGGGACCAGGUCGAUCCUAAACUCUACCUGCCUCUGUGGAGGUAUCCCACGCAACUCCUCGGGGAAUACAUCCAUAAACUCCUGCACCACGGGUACAUCGCCCACUGUCACCUUACCCGCCUCCCGGGUGUCCAUAACAUACGCGAUAUACCCUGCGCAACCCUGCUGAAGGUAGCGCCUGGCUCUCGCUGCUAAACAUACAGCUGGUCCUCGCUGUGGCCUCUCGCCCUGAACUACCAACUCUCCCUCACUUGGGGUCUUGAUCCGUACCAGCUGAUGUGCACAAUCUAUCACUGCCCCAUUGGGGCGCAACCAAUCCAUGCCUAUAAUAAACUUGUUCCCCCGCAAUGGUAUGGGAACUAGUUCUACCAGGUAACGUNUUCCCCCGCAAUGGUAUAGGAACUAGUUCUACCAGGUAACGUUCCUCGAACAGCCUCAAGACACAAUCUCGGUAGACCUCCGAUGCUCGCACUGAUCGGUCGUCUUCAAUCUCGACCUCUAGAGGGCAGUCCAACAUGCUCGAAGACUCAGGAAAUUUCUUGCUAAGCACAAGAGAGACAAAUGAUCGGGUAGCACCCGAAUCAAAUAAUACCUGAACUAGGAUACCGUUCACAUGGAGCGAUCCUAAACACAUAUACACAGGGCACAAUAUCAAUAUCAUAACAUCAUACAAAUAAAUCAGAGGGAAAGAAUCAUACCCGUCACCACAUCGGGUGCAGCGCGUGCCUCCUCGGCUGUCAGCUGAAAAGCUCGGCUCCGAACCACUGGAGCCUCUGACUUGACCUUCCGGCCAUCCAUAACCCGUACUGUUGCUAACGCUGGCGCCACUUCCGGCGCUGUUGCUGCUGUUGGUGCUGUCAACCAGGGACAAUUGGCCUUUUUAUUGCCCUUCUGAUUGCAAUGGAAGCAAAUCAGGUCUGAUUUCUAAAUCGCAGAAUCAGGGGCGGUACAAUCUCUACCAAAAUGUCCAACCUUGCCACACUUAUAGCAGCCUGAACCCGGCCCAGUGCGACAAACUCCCUCAUGUGCCCGACCGCAUUUCCCACAGCGGUCCCGGCCCGUCUGGCCUUUCGGCCUACCAUCGGGUCCCUUGGGCUUCUUCCCCGNNNNNNNNNNNNNNNNNNNNNNNNNNNNNNNNNNNNNNNNNNNNNNNNNNNNNNNNNNNNNNNNNNNNNNNNNNNNNNNNNNNNNNNNNNNNNNNNNNNNNNNNNNNNNNNNNNNNNNNNNNNNNNNNNNNNNNNNNNNNNNNNNNNNNNNNNNNNNNNNNNNNNNNNNNNNNNNNNNNNNNNNNNNNNNNNNNNNNNNNNNNNNNNNNNNNNNNNNNNNNNNNNNNNNNNNNNNNNNNNNNNNNNNNNNNUGAAGCUCCACAGCUGGUGCAAACUCAGCCCCGAAUCGGGUCACGAAAUCUGACCAUGUCAUAGCCUCAAUGGCUAGGGCUCUCAACGUAUUGCCAAUCAACUCCCACCAAUCCCUGGCUCUAUCCCUCAAACAACCUGCAGUGAAACGGACCUUCGACCCUUCCGGGCAGAAGCUCGUCAGCUGUGCAGACUCGAUGUCUGCGAUCCAUCUCCUAGCAGCAAUGUGGUCCUUCACCCCAUGGAAAUCCGGUGCACCACUCCUACGGAAGUCCUUAAAGGACAGCGUACGGAUACCCACUUGGCUAGACGCCAAAUCACUCCUGAAUGCCCGGAGGCGAUCCUCCAUCAGCUCGAUAAUCCCUUCCUUGAUCGACCCGAAAAUGACCGGGGUCGCCUCAAGGAUACCUCUCGUAAUCUCAGACGCGAUGAACUCGCGCAACCCAUCAUCAACAUGCUCGGGUCCCUGACCCGAACCCAAUCCCGAACCAGGUCCUGAUCCCCCUGCUCCAUGACGUGUGACCACCAUUCUGAAAAAUAAUAAUGCAAUUUUCAGGAUCUUAUAUACCCCCGGAGGGUCUCACACACUCUCCAAGUUUCCAGGUCUCAUCCCAAUCCUCCUUGAAUCGAGUACGGAUCCUCUGCUUUCAGUAGUACGGGCCCAUACUACCUUCCACAUCUAUCUAUACUUUCCCCAAGGAUUGCCUCGACUUCACCAGGUCCCUUUCACUGAUGCUCUUUCCACUAAUCACAUCCUAGGCUUCCCUAGGGCACCCUCAUACUUACUCCCCGCCAUCAGCUGCAUUAAGAGUCCUUACCGCGUCCCCCUAACUAGCUUGUGGAUACCGUUACAUAUCCGUUCACCAGUUAGUCGAAGUUGGCCAGAACCCCUAUAGCCCAAAGCAAGCAACAUUCGUGCGUUGAGUAACCAAACCAGGCAUAACCCACACAGGACAUCCUAAUGAUUAAACAGUCCUAGCAUACAGCUCAUACAACAGGCAUGUGAGGCAUCCUUCCUAGAUCCUUAGCCCUAGCUAGCAUGCAAUUCUCAGAAUCAUACAUCAGGCACACAAGGCAUCCUCCUAGAUCCUUAGUCUUAUUCUAGCAUGCAAUUUUCCGAAUCAAAACCAUACAACAUAACAUAACAAGUAUGGGUAUCUUGGGGAAAACUUACUUGAGCCCGGCCGGUCGCACGCAUCACACACUUCAUCUUUCUUAAAGCUUCCCAUUUUAGAUUUUAGAAAACCAUUUUCCUUCAAAAAUCUUUUAGUCCCUCAGUUUGAGUCCAGACACCCCCGAGGGUGUGUCCGAAUCCCUCAAACCAGGGCUCUGAUACCAACUUGUAACAUCCCAAAUUUUGAGGCCAAAAAUUUCAUUUUUAGAAUUUAGCAUGUAAUAAGGUGUGUUACUAAAGCAUUGUCAAAUUUACAUUAAUUAUAAAACAUAAGGUCAUGUCUCAAAACAAUAUCAUCGGAACAAGAAAAUCAGAGUACGAUCCCAGUAAAAUCCAGUGCGGAAAUCAUGUGUGUGAUAAGCCGCUACACCGCCGGCUCUUUCCCCUUUGACGAAGAGGUACUUGAAACCACAAUUAAAACUGUAAGCACGAAGCUUAGUGUGUUCCCCCAUCGUACCACAUACCAUUUAAUGCCAUCGGUAUCUUUCAACCGGUAAUCAACUUCGGUAUCUUUCAACCGGUAAUCAUCAUCGGUAUCUUACAACCGAUAAUCAUCAUCGGUAUCUUUCAACCGGUAACUGGGGUCUAUUCCACCCCCUACUACUAAUGACAUACAACAACAAGGUAUAAGCAUACAAUCAGGAAUAUCCGAUUACUAACGUACUCUUCGGUCCUAAAAGACCAUUGUCAGGGAAAAACUAUCCCUAUCAUACACAUAACAUAUCAUACAGAAAUAUCUCAUAACCAAACACGUAUCCAUACCGAGAUAAUUAUCACGAAGACAAUCAUCUUCUAAAAUACUCCUACCUGGUGGGCCGGCAUUGUGGCCUUAGACCCACCCUUAUUGGAAGGUAACUCACCUCAAAAGGCUGACUGCUGAAAAAUUGAUAUGCAAAUGUCUGACAGCUGCUCCGGUGAUCCCCCGGCUAUAUUCCCAUAAAACACUUAAUCAGACAUUGAUACUAAUCCCAUGGUAAAAUGACUAUUUUACCCUUGACCGAUUCCAAACCAAAGUCAAGUCAAAGUCAACUUCCAGUUGACCCGACUCGCCGAGUUGGCUUGCCAACUCGUCGAGUUCAUAUCCAGCCUAUUGACCUUACUCCCGUCUCUACUCGUCGAGUUAGGCAUUGACUCGACGAGUUCUCUUCCUAACUGAAUACACAAUGGUCCUUCAUCCAACUCGCCGAGUUGUAUGAACAACUCAUCGAGUUAAUCUUCAUCCGAUGAACACGUUCUUUCCUCGACUCGCCGAGUUGAUGAACAACUCACCAAGUUUUAUGAAGAUUGCCUUGGACCCGCUGAGUCAGAGCAUUGACUCGCCGAGUCCCUCCAUUGAUGAGUCUGGCUUCCGACUCACUGAGUCCACCUAUGGCUCACUGCUCUACUCACCUACUCGAAAAGGGGAAAAAUCGGGGACUCGCUACUCGACUCGCCGAGUUCGAAGAACAACUCGCCGAGUCGCAUCCAUGCAAUCUCUCUAUACUCGAUUCUGCUUGAAUCCAGUGCAUUCCAUUCAUAGAUCUGGGUUCCUAGGACUCGGUUAACACGUAAAGUUUCCAACUUUACGUGUAUAUAAUCAUCCAUGGGGAUUCUAAGGCUCAAAACACACAAAAAGGGGUAGAUCUAGGACUUUCAUGCAAUAUGGCCCCAUAAAGGUAUUAGACCUAGGCUUCUGGAACUCGAACAUAGCCAGAUCUAGCAGCUAUUCAGCCCAUUAUGAUCCUUAUACCACUGACCAGCUUGGAAAUGGGUCAAAGAUAGCUUAAUGGUGUUCUAAUGGGGAUUUGAGCAUAGAAACAAAAUAGAUCCGAAUUGUACCUCAAUGAACUCUGGAGUAAGUCCUAGAUUCUUGCUCUUCACCUUCUCUUUUGGUCUUUCCUUCCUUCUCUUCUUCAAACUCCAAGGAACAAGCACAAGAUUACUUCAAAUCACAAGGAGAGGGUUAGGGUUCGGUAUAUGAUGCUCUGAGGGUGAUGGAGUCUAACUUGGGGCGCAUAAAGGGGGUUUAAAUAGGGUGCAAACCCCUGAAAUUAGGGUUUCUUCCAGACUGAUGGACUCGCCGAGUCUCCAAAUUAAACGUGCUCAAAAUCCCUUCCCUACUCGGCGAGUCUAGCCUACGACUCGCCGAGUCUAAGGCUAAAAAAGGUAAAAUACUCAAAUAAAUCAUACAUACGAGGAACCAGGUACUACAAGUACACUGAUAAAUUUGGAUGAACCUAACAACUACAAGCAAACCAUGGCGGGCCCGGAGUCUGCAAAAUGGAAAGAGGCAAUAGACAACGAGAUUUAGUCCAUAUAUGACAAUCAAGUUUGCAACUUGGUUGGCAAUGUGACAGGUCGUAGGACAGUCGGCUACAAGUGGAUCUUCAAGAAGAAGAUCGACAUGGAUGGGAAAGUGCAUACAUUCAAGGCACGAUUGGUUACGAAGGGCUUUACUCAAACCACAGGGGUUGACUAUGAUGAGACCUUCUCACCAGUGCCCAAGAUUAAUUCUAAUAGGGUUAUGUUUUCCAUCGCUGCAUUUCAUGGUUAUGAAAUUUCACAGAUGGAUGUCAAAACUGUUUUCCUUAACGGGAAGUUGGCUAAAGAUGUUUACAUGUGUCAGCCAGAAGGUUUUAUGGAUGCCAAAUACCCCAAUAGAGUGUGCAAGAUUGAGAAAUCCAUUUAUGGAUUGAAACAAGCAUAUCGCAGAUGGAAUCUUAGUUUCGAUGAGAAAAUCAAAGAGUUUGGAUUUUUGAGAAGAAAAUAUAAGUCAUGUGUGUAUGUCAAUACUAGUGGGAGUAUAAUUAGCUUUCUAGUUUUGUAUGUUGAUGGCAUACUACUCAUAGGAAACGACAUCCCGACCUUGCAGGAGAUUAAGUCCUAGCUUGGGAAGUGUUUUGCUAUAAAAUAUCUAGGAGAAUAUGCUUAUUUGACAAGGUGUUGAAAUGUUUUAGCAUGGAGAAUUCCAAGAAAGGGGCACUGCCAAUCCAAACCAUUACCAAGCUGAGUAAGACUCAGAGUCCGAGUAUUGAUGCCAAGAUAGCGGAAAUGAGUUGAGUGCCAUAUGCUUCCGCCAUUGGCUUGAUCAUGCACGCUAUGAUGUACUCGCGCUGAUGUAGCUUUUGCAUUAAGCAUGGUUAGCCGAUAUCAAGGGAACCCGGGUAGAGCUCAUUGGACUGCAGUUAAGAACAUUCUUAAGUACCUGCGAAGGACUAAGAAUUGGGUCCUUACAAGUGGUGGGAGUGAUGACUUAAGAGUGACAGGGUACAAUGACUCCAGCUUUUAGACCGACAGAGAUAACUUCCGCUCUCAGUUGAGUACAAAAUGUGUUUGUGUAACUUGUCCUCAAGUUACAUNNNNNNNNNNNNNNNNNNNNNNNNNNNNNNNNNNNNNNNNNNNNNNNNNNNNNNNNNNNNNNNNNNNNNNNNNNNNNNNNNNNNNNNNNNNNNNNNNNNNGGUUGGAAGAAAUCUAUGGGAAGCCCAUAGAGAAUUCAUCCAAGGACUAUUCUAGAAGGUGUCCAUGGGCUGCUUAAGGCUUAAGCAGUUAAAUUAGGGUUUCACCUAAAACCCUACCAACCAUAAGUAUAAAUAGACCCCAUGGAUUAUAGAAUUCGGGCCCUAUGCUUUCUAAGAGAACCCUAGCCAAUUUCAAUAAGCCUCCAUCCUCUGUCUCUCUUGUUCAUCUAUUGCUUGUGGUGUUUGUGACUCCAUUAGAGGUGCAACAAUUGAGACACUAAGCUCUUGAAGGUCAAGAUCAACCAAUCAACAAGGAAAAGGUAUUCUUCUAACUUUGGUUUAGUUAUUGAUUUCGAAAAUAUGUAUGCUAGAUUAGGGUUUUUCUUUGGAAAAUUAUUAUUAUGCAUGUAUAACUUGAGAAAAAACUAGAUCUAAAGCAAUUAGGGUUUCAUGUGCACUGUAGGAAUGUUGUAAUGCUCAAAACCCAUCAGCAUAUACUAAGCAACUACAGUAAUGAUGUCAACUUCAUAUAAGGAAAACCCUAGGCUAUCAGGCAUCAUAUAGUCAGGCAAUUCUAUCAUGCAAUUUCUGAAGAUCCCUAGCUUAUCACUAACAUGAUGUUCUAACAUAUCAUAAUAUUAAAUAUCUGUAUGGUAUUUUGGGGUCUACUUGCUGGCUCUGAUUGAUCAUACACUUUGCAUCCUCUUUUAGUAUUUUGAAAACCAUUUUGAAAGUAUUUUACUUAGUUUGAGACUGGAUUUACACGAGUGCUCCUCCAAUUCACUCAAACCAAGGAUUUGAUACCAACUUGUAGCAUCCAUAAAAUUAAUGAAAAUUUAAAACUUUUUCAAGCAUCCAAAAACCAUUAUUUAUUACAAAAUGUUUUCAAAAGAGUUUCAUCUAAGAGUAUCUCAGAAAUCAAAAUCAUAAAAUGUGAGGAGGUGCACGAUCAAGCCUUCGCCUUCCCACGGUCAUCCGAAGUACUUGAAACAAAAUCCAAAAUCGUAAGCCCAAAGCUUAGUGAGUUCCCCCAAAAUACCAACGUCAUACAAACCAGAACAAUAUCAUAACAAACAACAUGCAUAUAGAGUCUAUAGUAUGACUGGACCGCCCUCGCCGGGCCUUCAGUCUGUCAGGCUCACUCUCAGAACCUUCAGCAUGUCUGGUUCGCGUUACCAGACCUUCAGCAUGUCUGGACUGUUCUUCGGGCCUUCAGCCUAACUGGUACGCCCCAUUGGGCCUUCAGUCUAUUCGGGUCGCCUUGGGUAUGUUAGCCUAGAGCACAAAGCAGGACCGCCUCAACCCACCCCCAAACACACAAUCAACACAUAGAUAUCAAAUGAUAGCUAGCAUGUAUAAACAGUCAAAUAGAUCUAACAUAUCACUAAUCAUAGCAUCAUCCUAUGUACCAGGAUAUCGACCUAACAGGUCACUAAACAUAGCAUCAUCCUAUAUACCAGGAUAUAGAUCUAGCAGAUCAUUAAGCAUAUCAUCAUGCGAUAACCAGGAUAACAAUCCAAAAGGCCAACAUUGGUGUCUUUGACGCUAUUAGUAUAGUGAGGAAAACUUACCUCACAAGUAGUGUUGAACCGAUAAAUUGAAUCCCAACUCACGGCUCCGAAAUCAACUACCUUUAAUCACCAUAUAACUGAUUCCAUUUGAAUCCCAAAUUACAAAAUAUCCUCAGAAGUCAAACUCGAUCUACCAUGGUCAAAGUCAGAGUCAACAGUCAAGGUCAACAAUCUAUGUUGACCCAACUUUUCGAGUUCAUCUACUGACUCGUCGAGUUCUUUCAGAACUCAGAAACCAUAAAAACUCGAGUCAACUCGCCGAGUUGCCAAACAACUCGUCGAGUCCAUGUAGUGUCCAGAAGAUUGGGAGAACCUUAACCAAGUCGUCGAGUUUUCUCACCAACUCACCGAGUUCACUCAGAAUCCUGAAAGCGGGAAAACCCUUAUCCAACUCGUAGUUGGCUAAGCAACUCGUCGAGUUCCUUUAUCCCUUUUCUCAUUUAGACGCUCUUAAGCGAAACCAGGGCUCCAGACUGUAGAUCUAUCCCCCUAAGGUGUAAUUACCACAUAAAGUUGCCAACUUUACAUGUAUGCAAGGCCUCAAGAGGCUAAAACACCCAAAACUAAGCUUUGGAAGAGGUUUAGGGCAUGGAGAAGAGCCAAGACUAGAUAAAGUCGACAACUUUAUGUCCAUGGGGCCUAGAGGAGUCAAGAUCUGAGACCAUGUCCUCAUGACAAGCUCAAGCCCGAGAGUGACUCCAUUUUGCACUAGAAAGGACCAUAUUCUUGCAUAAGGAAAGAUCUAAGAAAUGGAAAGCCAAGGUAAGGACUUUUUACCUCCAAAUGGUUGCUAACAUAGAGUAGAUGUCGGAUCUACUGCUUCUCCCUUUGCUCCAACCUCUUCAAGCUUCAAAACCCUUCCAAAAGAGCAUAAAAAUGAUUUUCUAAGCUCACACACACAAGGAAGUAGUAAAGCAUGGCUAGGGUUUCCUUCUCUGGGCAAUGAGGUGAUAAGGGAGGCCAAAGAAUGUGGGCUAAAUCCUUUAAAUAAGGUGCAAACCCUAAAAAUUAGGGUUUUUCCAUUCCUAAAAAUUAGGGUCCUCCAACUCGUCGUGUAGGUUCCAUAAACCACGCGACCUGAUUAGUUUCUACACAAUGAGUUGGGGCAUCCAACUCGUCAAGUAGGUCCUGAAUGAUGUAUAAAAAUUCUUGAAACUCAUAUCUGCAAGUCGGGAUGUUACACUAUUAGUCUUAAGUCGGUAGCUCAACGACACAAAUAUGGUCAUAAUGACCGAAAAUUAAAUGACAGGGUUUUCCCCAAAAUAAAAAUAUUGAAUUAUAAUGAAAUGAUAUUAUUGAAAGAAGAAAAAUAGCAUAUUAAAGAAAAUUUAAAAUGUGGCAGAGACCAAACUAAGCAAAAAGCCCAACAUACAGAUCGGAUUAGGCGAGAUUAUCAAACAUAGUGACAAUUAUGAUUCUUUGUCUUCAUCCUCCGACUUUAAGUUUGUGGCUAAAAAAUGAAACGAAGACAUGUAUAUUCAUGUCAGAGGCACCAAUUAUCCAUUUGAAAACGAAUUAUUAUUAUUUGGCUGCUAAACUAACCAAAUGAGUGACUACUAAGACGCCAAAUGGCGCAUGUUUCAAUGGAUGAGACCUUGUCUAUUUAGUGCGUUAAUUAUUUGUGAUAUCACAACUUUGGAUUAGAAAAUAGACACAAUCAAUUGGAAAAUAACCAACCAAAUGAUGUUAGGCAAAUUAUCAUUAAAUACAAAUAACACUACAACAAAUAUAAAAAGUAUGAGCGACACUAUAAUGGCAAACUAGAAAAGAACCCCAGCUCCGUCCCGGGUUAGAAAUUUUUAUUUUUUACUCUUUAUUUUUUGCAGGAUUGUAGUUUUACUUUUAUUUAUUUAUUAUUUUUUUUACAACUAAGAAAGAGAGAAUUAAAAAUGAAAGAUUGGUCGCUCACCUACAAAUUUCAAUUGCUAUUUCUGACCGGACUUCCCAACUUGGAAUACAAUAGGAUUAGAACCUUUCAACAUUAUUGUCAUUCAAAUAAUGAAGUAAUAAAAUUCAACACAAAUACCAAGUACGGGCAAAAAAAAUGGGGAAAAUGGUUUUUAAAAUGGUCUAGAAGAAUAUAAUGGUUUAAUCAAGUAGAAAGUAGUUAAUUCGCUAAAUCAAUUAAAUAGUGAAUGUAUAAAUACUUUUUUGUAUUUUUCCUUUUAGAAUUAGAAAAAUAUUAAAAAAGAAUUUUCACCUUGAAAGUAUAAAUAAACCAAGUUGUUGAAAGUUUGCGAAUUUUAUCAAUGCAUAUCAUAUUAGUGAUCUGGGGAAAAUAUUAGAGAAACAACGAUAAAAAUUAAUCUCAUUCAACAAAUUUAAAUUUAUAAACAAAUGACAAUAUUCAUAAAAUUGUAGUUUAAAUAAUCAUGAAUUUUCUUUAUGAAGAUUUUGUAGUAUAUUCUAAGGGGAAAAGGAAGUGAUAAGAAAAAAAUGUAAUAGUAAAUAGAAUGGAUAUGUUAAAAGGGCAAAACCGUUUUUUUUAAUAAAUAUGAAAACUAUAGGAUGCAGCAUGUUAGGAGUGGGGUCCUUGCACCCCACUUGGAAGUGGGCCCCACCAUUAUAUUACUAAAAAUAGCCUUUAAAAUCGACAAAACUUCAAAAAUGGUCUUUGUGGUUUUCGAAAAUAUCAAGUUUAAUCUCUAAGUUCAAAAAACCUCACAGAUGGUCCAUGUGGUUUCAAAACUUUUAACAUUUGGUCCUUCCGGCUAACUCCAUUACCACUUAGCCGUUAAGUAAAGGGUGUUUUUGUCAUUUCACUACCCAGGGACCAUUUAUGAGGUUUUGUAUUACUUUUUUUUUUAAUAAAUAAAUAAAUAAAAUUUAAUAUGUAAGGGUCCCACCUCUCUCUCUCUCUCUCUCUCUCUCUCUCUCUCUCUCUCUCUCUCUCUCUCUCCUGUAAGUUGUAUAAAAUUCUUUCUCGUCGCUGGCUCCCCUGUAAGUUGUAUAGAUUCCAUGUCUCAUUCAUCAUUUGAUUCCAUAUUUUCAUGAAUCAGAUUGAAUCUGAAUUUGUUUUGAAUCCGCUUUGUAUACCUUCGACUCCGCAGGGCGUGGGUAAAACCACUCUGAUCGCUAGGGUUUUGGAGAAUCUCAGAACUUCCUACCUCAAUUUGAAAAUACAAGGGUUUUUCACUCGUAAUGCCCUAUCAUUCCAUACUCUUCCAUCGCUCAAAUAUGUUUUGAUUUUCGCCUUCGUUUACUCAUGAAAUUUGGGAUACAAAACAGGUGAGAUCAGACAAGAAGGCGAGAGGGUAGGGUUUGAGGUGGUUACGUUAGAUGGUCGCACUGCUCCAUUUGCUUCUAUUAACAAUUCCUGGUAACCAUUUCUUUAUAUUUUUUCAUCAUUCAACGUCGAAUUAGGUUUUAAUUAAGUUUUCCAUGGCAUUGUAGAUUCCAUUAGAUGGCCUAUUGUGGGAAGAUACAGAGUCGAUGUAGCAUCAUUCGAAUCAUUAGCUUUGCCUGAGUUAUAGGUUCGUUUAGCUUCAUCUCUAAUUUCUCAGUAAGAAGUUGAUUUUCGAUUUCAUUUUCAGGACAAAGAAGAUACAAAUCUGUUUGUGAUUGAUGAAGUUGGAAAGAUGGAGCUCUUUAGUUCGUUGUUCUUCCCUGCAAUGUUACGUGUUCUUGAGUCAAGGAAGAUAAAUCUUCGGUGGUUGUUUCUUCCACCGGUGAAUCGGAGAGAGAGAUAGAGAGGGGUGGGACCAUUGCAUAUUAAUUUUUAUUUAUUUAUUUAUUUAUUUUAAAAAAAGUAAUACAAAACCUCAUAAAUGGUCCCUGGGUAGUGAAAUGACAAAAAUACCCUUACUUAAUGGCUAAAUAGUAACGAAGUUAGCUGGAAGGACCAAAUGUUAAAAGUUUUGAAACCACAGGGACCAUCUGUGAGGUUUUUUGAACUUAAAGAUUAAACUUGAUAUUUUCGAAAACCAUAGGGACCAUUUUUGAAGUUUCGUCUUAAAAAUCUUACUUUUGCUAAAACCCUCCUUUGCGACACCCAUUCUUGUAGAAAAAGCCCCAUCUUAACAUAUUUUUACUACAGAAACUUACAAAUUCAAAAAAAAAAUUAGAGGUUUAUUCCUAUAUAAGUUUUUUUAUGUAUAACGGACCCGCUUUACUUCAAGCAUGAAUCCGCCACUAAAUACGACAAAUGACAACAACACCAUUCUUGAGAAAAAGCACCUUCUUCUUCACUAGUUUCCUGGUUUUAGGAUCAACUUGAUGCAUCAACUCAAUAAUCUCACAUUCCUCAAAAACAUAGUGAAUAUGCAAUAUAGCUUUGUAUCUAGCAGUGAAAAUAGCCUAAAAAAAAUAAAAAUAAAAAUUCAUAAAAAAAUAAGUGAGGAAGAAUAAUAAUAAAUCCAAGGUGAAAGAUUUAUGUAAGUUAAUACAUUUCCAACAAUUCAAGAAUUUGCAACUGAGCGAUAAACUCGUGAACUACUGGUAUUGGUUUUGCUACAAAAGAAAAAAGAAAAAGGAAAACAUCAAACUCUAGAAAGAUAUCCAAUAUUGAAAACAUUAUUACAUUUCUUUAUUUUAUAAAUAUAUGUACAUAUUAAAGAUAAACUUAAUUAAAAGAAAACAUAGUACCAAUACUGGAAAGAACAAAGUCGGAUAGUAUGUCUUGUUCUUCAAUCCUAGAUACUCUGACACGUAUAUUCUCACCGGGCCUGCAUUUUGAAACCAAUUUAUGACAACAAUUAUAAAGACAUGUCAAAGCACAAUGAUAAUACUACAGAGAUGGUAGAAAUAAACAAUCAUAUUAGUUAAAACCCUCACAAUGUAAUUAAUUACUGAAAAACAAAUGACUAUGUAAGGGUAUACUUGGAAUUACUACGCAUUGGGUUUGAACUUCACAUGAACAUUGUUUUUCAGAUGUGGUAAACCGAUGUGGUAUAUACCCUCCAGAUGUAAGAAAUGCAACCCGUUGAUGGUAGAUUUAAACAUAUUAUUUUAUCAUCACAUGCUACAUCUGAUCAUGCCAUCAUCUAGAUUCUAAGAGAAGUAGAGAAGGACGUGCAAGUAAGUGCAAAAGACCAAAUUACCCUCAUGUUAUUAUCAUUACUGUUUUAAGUUAGAGGGCUAUUUAUGUCAUUUGACAUGUAAAUAAAAUAUUGUAUUCUUUUUGAAAAAAAAAACAUGUUGUAUUAAAAAAUGCAGUUAAUGAGGGAAAAGAAAAAUAGAUCAGAAAGGAUUCACAUACGUUGGUUUCAAAUCUUGGUUUGAAUUUUAGGUUUCUUAAGGUUUUAAAUAUGAGGUUUGAUUUCAGAUAUGUUUUUGAUGUUUGAUUUCAUAUGUGAUUUUAAUUUCAGCUUUGAGGUUUGAUUUCAUAUUUUUCAUAUAUUCAUUUUGGUUUUGGGUUUAAUGUUUAAUAUCAACUUUGAAUAUGACUUGGAGGCGAUGAGUGCUGGUGGUUGACGAUGGUGUCAAAUGAGAGUGAUGAUUUUAAUGUCGUGGCUGGAUCUGUCAACAUGAAACAUGUAUAUAGGAUUUGGGUUGAUCAAUUAUGGCACAUCAUUUUUUUUAAUUUAAAAAUAACAAAUAGUUAAUAGAANNNNNNNNNNAAAGGCAAAAUAGUCUUUUUAUAUCGUAUAGGAACAAAGACCCAACAAAACAAGGUUUGAGGACCUUCAGAAUUAGAAAAGCUCAAACCAAAGGAAACAUUAAUCAUGUAGUUUAUUCUAAAAAAAAAUUGUUCAAUUUCAAUGCAAUAUAGUAGAGAAAAUGGUUGAUGAUAUACCUUCCAAAGAAAAAUAUAAAGACUCUGCUGUUUUCCACCUAUUGUUCAGAACUAUGUGUACCUGACAAAUUCCACCUCAGCAUAUAUAAUUUCCAAAUCUCUCGUAUUUGGCGAAAUUUUUGUUAUAAAUAGGGUAGCCAGUAUCUACCUGCAAAUCACGUUCACCAUAAACAUCUUUUGAGUUUUGACUACCUUUCACAUGAUGGCUUCUCCGACAGUCUCAGACCUUGAAAACCCAAUCACCACCUCCGCCCUUCCCUACUCCUACGCCCCAUUGCCUGACGGCGAGCAACCCACCGGAAAUGAUCGCACCAUCCGCCCAUCCAGAAAGACAGCCCUCUUUCUUGUGUCUCUGUUCUUGGCCGUCGCUUUUCUAGUCGCAUUGUUCGCCGGAAACAGCCCAAUGCUUCCCAAAAACUUGAACACCAGUCCGGUGCCAUCCACGGCGGCGACUCCGGAAAAGGUAACACCUUUAUCUCGUGGGGUGGAGAAAGGUGUGUCGGAGAAAUCUUUUCAUCCAUUGUUGGGUGCAGAUAAUUCGUAUCCAUGGAGCAACAACAUGUUGGAUUGGCAAAGAACUGCCUUUCACUUCCAACCUAAGAAAAACUGGAUGAACGGUAAAUUAAUUCUUUCUUACAUUUACAUACACACACAAAAUUUGAGUUAAAUUUCACAUUAUGAAUGUGAUUAGAAACAUCAUUACUUAUAUUUUUCUUCUUUUGCUUCUUUUUUUUGGCAUCGCUGUGGUGAUCGCGAUUCUCUCUUCAGAUCCUAACGGUUAGUUCAAAACUCAUUCGGUUAAUAUAUUUUUAUAUUAUAACUUCGAAAUAAAUAAUAUAUAAUUAUGAGUUAAAGUGUUUAAUAAAACAGUGGUUUUAUCCUAAGGAUGGCCCACUCUCGUUUUCGUGAUUCAGUCAUACAAGAAAACAAAGUAUAAUUAAUAGUAUUCUUUAUUUAUCGAAUUAUUCUUAAAAAGCAUAUCCAUACUUUCAAACUUCAGAGUUACAACUGAAAAGGAAGAAACAGAACAUCCUUUUUAAGCACUUUUUUUAACAUUUUUUUAAAUAAAAAUAUACUUUAUAUAAAUAUUUUUUGAGUUCUACUCUUCUUUACAUGCACUUUUUUGACAUUUUUAUAUAAAUUAAAAUAUGUUUCAGGUCCAGUUUUUUACAAUGGAUGGUACCACCUGUUCUAUCAAUAUCAUCCCGAUGCUCCGGUGUGGGGCAAAAUCGUUUGGGGCCACGCUGUCUCCAAAGACUUAAUUAACUGGCGCCACCUCCCCAUCGCCAUGGAAACCGACCAGUGGUAUGACGAACAGGGUGUCUGGACUGGUUCCGCCACCAUCCUUUCCGAUGGUCAACUCGUCGUUCUCUACACCGGAUCCACCAACGAAUCCGUCCAGGUCCAAAACUUAGCUUAUCCAGCCGACCCAUCUGACCCCCUCCUCAUCAACUGGGUCAAAUACCCCGGAAACCCGGUUCUCGUCCCACCACCUGGUAUCGAUAAUAAAGAUUUCCGUGAUCCAACAACCGCAUGGAAGACCCCCGAGGGAAAGUGGCGAAUCACCAUCGGUUCUAAGAUCAACAAAACCGGUAUUUCGUUGGUUUACGACACAGAAGACUUCAGAACCUUUGAGCUUUUAGACGGGUUGCUCCAUGCUGUUCCGGGUACGGGUAUGUGGGAAUGUGUGGAUUUUUACCCGAUAUCAAAACAAGGCGAGAAUGGGCUUGACACAUCAGUAGAUGGGCCUGGGGUCAAACACAUAGUCAAAGCUAGCAUGGAUGAUGACCGAAAUGACUAUUAUGCCAUCGGUACUUAUGAUGCUUACAAGGGGAAAUGGACCCCAGAUAAUCCUACAUUAGAUGUGGGAAUCGGGUUGAGAUACGAUUACGGAAUCUAUUACGCCUCAAAAACAUUUUUCGACCAAAACAAGCAAAGAAGAGUUUUGUGGAGUUGGAUCAAAGAGACAGACACCGAAGCCUCCGACAUUAAGAAGGGUUGGGCUUCUGUCAUGAUAUAUCUCUAUCUUAAAAUGUUUCAAAUCCGACAAUUUUCACUAUAUAUUUAUUAUACUUGUACAUUUUUCACAGGGAGUUCCUAGAACAGUUGUGUUGGAUAAAAAAACUCAAAGCAAUAUAAUUCAGUGGCCCAUUGAAGAAAUUAACCGAUUGCGGAAAAACCUUACCGUUUUCAAGGAUGUCGUUUUAGAAGUCGGCUCGCUCGUGCCACUCAACCUGUCUUCUGCAUCUCAGGUACUUGAUAUAUUUUCCUUUUUGUGAUGUUAGUAGUAGAAUUUAUCUCCAAAAGAGUCAUAAAAAGAAAUGAAAUGAUAGACUACAACAUAUAUAAAAGUAAAAGCAAAUGAGACUAUUAUAAUUGUCAUUGUCAUUAAAAGUACUUUGUAUAUGAUUGGUUAUAAGAUUUGGAAUUAUUAUAAUUUACAGCUAGAUAUUGUUGCUGAGUUUGAAGUGGAUAAGAAGACAGUGGAGCGAUUAAACGGAGCCGAUGUUGCAUAUGAUUGCGCCAAAAAUGGUGGAGCAGCACAACGAGGUGCAUUGGGACCAUUCGGUUUUUCGGUCCUUGCACACGAAGGCCUGGCUGAACACACUCCUGUGUAUUUCUAUGUUGCCAAAGGAGUUGAUGGGAACCUUAAAACAUUCUUUUGUGCUGAUCAAUCGAGGUCAUCUAAUGCUAAUGAUGUCGAUAAGUCAAUUUAUGGGAGCAUUGUCCCAGUUCUCAAAGGUGAAAAGUUGUCUAUGAGAAUCUUGGUGGAUCAUUCGAUAGUUGAAAGUUU